GAAUUCCUAGACAAAAAUCAUGAAUCUUGGCUGCCCUUAUUUGUUGGGUUGCAAUAGGUUCUUCUACAGGUUCGCUCUCCCCUUUAAUAGCUACAGGUUCUUCAGCAGUAGAAUCUACUAUCAAUGACCUUCCAUUAUGAGAUUUUGGUGCACCGUCUGUGUAACUUAGAGCUGUCUUUAUCCCUGAAUUGGAAAUGUCUGUGGCGCGUUCAUCUUUGCUCAUAACAACUAGAAACUGAAUUACAGAAAAUCUGAGAUUGAUAUCAUUUUCAAGCAGCCACAUAAAAGAAAAAUGAAUUUUCAAUCCACCUUUGCUGCCAAACAUUCAACCAUGACUUUCAUGUAUGUAUUUAAGAAACAUGAUCCUCCAAAACAAAUUCACCAAAUCCAAAGCUACAAAAAAUGAUGCUAAUUUACUAACACCAAUUAGUCAGUGAGUGCAGCAUGAAAGCGACCGGAACUCCAUGAGAAAUAACAAAAAAAGAAAGAAAUGAUCAUGUAACACAAGGAUCCAUAAUACAUCAUGAGAUACAAAAGUACUUAAAUGCAGUCGGUAACUCAGAAAGUACAAGCACGAGAACAGCAGUAAAGUUCACAUGAUUGACGAACAAUCUCCUUCUCAAAGCAUAGUUGCAUGACAAAUAUUUGGCAACUAGUCAAUAUUCCUCCGAAGGAAUAAUCUUUACAUGCUUGCACAUGCUUGUUUUCAUUAGAUGAGCAAUAUACCUAGUGCACCUAUCUUGAGGGUUUUCAAAGUGUUUUAACACAUGUUCCAGAAGUUGGAAAAUAUGUUCAUAAGAUUGUAAGCAAGGCAUUCAGUCAUCAUCAUAGAAAUGUCCAAUGCACAUGCAAGAUUAUCUGCAGAACCCCAAGGAUUCACAGAUGCAAAAUCGGGUCAAGAUCUUAUCUUAAUUCUCAAGUACUUGAUAUGAUGAAAAUGUUCCAUGGUUUUGAUCAUAUUACUUGAAUCAAAAUAAAAGUAACCAAAAUCAUUGGGAGCACAAAUGUGAAUAAACGGUUGUAUUAAAAAUUCACUAAUUUAACCGUAACCCCUUGUCAGAGUCUAAUCCCAUUGCCCGCCCAGCAUUUGGGUUUCAAGGGUUAUUCUUUUGGUUGUUGCCACCCCAUCCCCACAGCCUGUAUUCACCUCAACAUAAACCAUAAUGUCAAAACCAUCUAACUAUUUUCUGCAAAUCGUCAAUUUCUUCCUAGAUGGAAAAAUGAAUACAAACCACUCAUGAUGAUGUCCUACCAAUAAUCAGUAUAAAUUUAUUACUCCAGCAUAGGGAAGGGACAUAAAGCUACCAUUUUUUUCAACUAUCUCCGUUCUGGCAUGCAAAUUUCUCCCAUUUGACCAAUGUACUUCAAAAACGGGGACAAGACCAGAGAGGGGCUGGCAGCUAAGAAUUUUUAAAAACUCAUUUGCCCCCUUAUAUUAAAAGUUUUAUUUGUAUUAUGAACUUAACGUUAAGAAAUUAUUCUGAUCUUAAGUUCUUGCCCCCAAGCUUGAGAAUUUGGUAUUCAGCAGAAAUAUUUUAUACAUUUUACUUUCGCCCCAUAAAAGUUUCAAACACUCUGGUGUAAAUGAAGCUAAUCAAUCCACACACUCUAGUGUUCAAGCUUGUCUGUCUAUCUUAAAGAGUUUCAAAUUGUUUCAAAUUUGACUUAUUUAUUCAUCAAGCUGGAAUUCAGAUGAACUUUUAUCAAGCCAGGCUUGAGUCGAGCUCAUUUGACUUUUUUACAUAUAAAUUCCAAAUUUAUGCUAAUCAAGCCAAUCUCGAGCAGGAUUUGAAAUUUCACCAAAUACAAAAUGUUAUUCAUGUUUGAUUUGAGAUCAAAUGAGCUCUUAGUAAUCCAAGCAUGAUUAGACAAUCAAAUAGUUUGGUUCGUCUUCCAGCCCUAUUUGCAAGUAUAAAAUUGAUAUUAAGUCCGUCUCCUCUAAAUUUGUAUAUUUUCGCCCUCCAAAUUGAAAUCCUGGUUCCUUCGUUGUUUGAAAUCAAGAAUAAAAAAGGUGUCAAACGAAUUAACACUAUUGGAGCACAAAAAAAUUGCAAAGAAAUCAAAUUACCAGUAACUAUAUAUGAUGAUCCUCACUUCAACAGGAGGUAAAAAUCAGAGCUUUGGCAAUAUUUCAUUUUUUUUCUUUAAAUUCACUCCAGAAGGCUACCAGUCUACCACUCUAACAAUGAAGCCAUUAUACAGAAGGGGGAAAAAUUUGGGUUUUUCUUUUUUUGUUUUUUAAUUCAAGUAUGAAAGCAAAAACACAAAUUUCAUUCAAAAAGAACGAAAAGGGAAUUAGUGAAUUUGCCUUGGACCGAAGGAUGGGAUUUGAUCGGGUUUGAAAGCUGAGUUGCUGACCCCGACUAAUGGAGGAGAAGGCUGGCAACUGAGAGAUCGCCACCGAUGCCAUCCUUAACCUUUCCUUCCUUCCUUCCUUCCUUCCCCCGGAUUCCUUCCUUUUUUCCCCCUGAUUCCUUCCUGUUUUUUUGGCUUCUGGGUUUUUGCCUGUGGGAUCUUAGUUCUUCCUGAGAGCAAAAAGGGGGUAAAUUGAAUUGGAAUUCUGGAAGGUGCUGCUAACUGCUGAAAAAAUGUGGUCGCUUUUUGACAGUCUGAACUUGAGCUGAAUUUUUUAUUUUUGGUGGCACGGCCGAAUUUUUAUAAUUUAAUCUAAUCUAAUCUAAAGAGAAGGGAAAGAGGACUCGAUGUGAACAGAUGCUUCAUCGAAAAAAGUCAAUCUAAACUGUUACAGUGGCAAUUCACGAAAGGCAAGGGUUGAACUUUGAGCUCCCACCCCACCAAGACAGACCAAGACUGAAGGUGACCACCCGGCCAAAGGCCCAGCAGCUCUGAACUUGAGCUGAUAUGCAAGCAGUCAAAGUCGAGUUACUAUUGCUUUUUGCACGCUUGAUGUGUACAUGAUUAUAAUAAUAAAGAAAUGAAUACUAAUAUUAAUAUUUUUGACAUUCUAUAUAAAUUCUUCAUUGCUAAAAAACCUUAAAUUCUUAAAUUUUUUUGAACAUAAUAAUUGUUAUAUUGGUAGUUAUAAUGCUUAGGAUUAAUUUUGUUGAAAAGUAAAUAGUUAAAUUUAAAUGCGUUCUUUCAAGAGAAUUAGGGGAAAGGGAAUGAAUUUGGUGAUAUAGGAGGAGGAGGAGAGAUCAAGAGAAUACAAGUGACAAAUAAUUUUUAUACAAAAUUCCAUUUCUCUCCCUUUAUAAUAUUUUGUAUGUAUAUAUGCCCUAAAAUGUUUAUAAUUAGUCACUAGAUUUUCAUAAAAACGAUUCAAUUGUUUGGAUAGUAAUUUUUCAAAAAAUUUUAGAAAACUUGAAAUACAUUCUCCAACAAAUUUUUUUUUUUUUAUCUCACAUACAUAUUUCUAUAAACAAAAAAGUCUUAAUUAGUAUACCAUCUUAAAAAAAAAACAAUUUUCAAUGUAUGUUAUGCCUAAACAUUAUUAAUGAAAAUAUUUUGUGCAUGACUUAUGGUAGAUUGAGCAAUUGUACCUAGAUAAAUUUUGACAUAACAUUGUUUAAUGUAUUUUAUACCACUAUUAAAUUUUGUUAUUACGGAUAGUUUUCUGGGAUUUCCCGAGAAAUUUUUCCAUAAAUGAUUGCUCAUGAAGAUUUAAAAUCCACCAAUUAGAUUAGGGUUUAGAUCUUCUCCAUUAUUUUUUUCUCUUCAUUUAUAUAUCCAUUUUUUAUAUUGAUAUAACUAAAUUUUUUUCACAAUAAUCUGUUUGUUUUGAUAAUUUUAUUUCCGCAAGUAAAUCAACAUAUUUAAAAAUCAGGCUCAUUUGUGAAUAUAACUAUGGGAUAAUUUCAUAAACCACUCCUGAGGUUUCUCACAAUUACAAAGAGCUCCUCUCAAAUUUUAAAAAUUACAUAUACUCCCCUACUUUUACUGUUUAGUAACAAUGUAUGUUUAAGAACUUAGAUUUUCUUUCAAAAAUCCUAAAUUGCCCUUUUGUACCAUAGUAUACUCAAUCAUUUUCUUCCACACUUUGCAUAAAUCAAACAUAUUUAAAAAUCAGGCUCGUUUGUGAAUAUAACUAUGGGAUAAUUUCACAAACCUCUCCUGAGGUUUCUCACAAUUACAAAGAGCUCCUCUCAGAUUUUAAAAAUUAUAUAUACUCUCCUACUUUUACUGUUUAGUAACAAUGUAUGUUUAAGAACUUAGAUUUUCUUUCAAAAAUCCUAAAUUGCCCUUUUGUGCAAAACUAAGAAAAAAAAACAUAGUAUACUCAAUCAUUUUCUUCCACACUUUGCAUAAAUCAACAAGCCAAAUCCCUAAUGACCAUCCAAACAUAAGUUCUAAAAUCAAGUAGUCAUCCAAAAUAUUCCAAAUUGUAUUAUACAGUAUCAAUACUUGCCACGAUAAAAAAAAACACACAAAACCCCAUUGACAACCAAUUUUAUAUUCACAAAUUAAAUGCUCAAAUACCUUUUCAAUAUAAACUAAUUUGACCUAGAACCACCAUUACAACUCUCCUAUGCCCUUCAAAAUAUUAAUUUCUCAAAAGUAAAGAAUAAAUUCUACCUCCAAAAUAAAAUCAUAAUAAAAAAUUUCUAAUCCAAUGAAAGAAAUCAUUAUGUAAUUAUUGACAAUUUAUAAAUUUUUUUUCGUAACAACAAACAAAAUAUGACAAUUUCCAUAGCUUUAGUUCUUUUUCCUAUUUCAAUAAUCAAUUUCAUUAUUUAUUUCUCUAUCACUGCAAGUUUCUUCAUUUCCUUCUAGUUUGACAAUAAUCUACUUUCUUUGUAUAUUUUGUAAUUUUAAUUUCAAAACUGAAGAUAAUAAAAAGAGAUUAUAUUAACUAGAAAAUAGACAAGAGAUGGAAAAAUAAAUUUUUUUAGGUUUUGUAAAUUUAUUGCCUUAAAUUUAAAAUUGUCUACUGAGUGGAGGACAUUAUAGAUAUUUUAUUAUGGAUAAUUUUAGAAACCUCCCUUGAGGUUUUUCCUAAUCAUACCUAGCACCCCUAAAGUUUCUAAAAUCACACUUAGCACCCUUAGAAUAACAACUUUUGUAACAUAUCAACCCCUUUAGGUAAAAAUUGUAUUAAAAAUGUAUUUAGAAGAGCAAGUUGAUUUUUGAAAACUAGAAGAUGAAAAUAAAAACAAGUUGAUUCUUUUUCAGCCUUUUUCAUAUUUCUUAUGUAGGAAAAGGCAAGAAAAAAGAAAAAAUAUUUAUGUUCAAUUAUGUAAAAAUAAAGUAACAAAAAUGCCAUAAAAUUUGGGUACAUUUUGGGCCUUUGUUUUGCAUAUGCAACUGAAGAUAGGUUUUGAGGUACUUAGAUAAUCUAAACAUAGAAAAUCUAUCUUUUUUUUUACUACGAUUUUAUCUUGUUAUCUAGUUUAAUCAUUAAGAGGUGAGGAAAAAAUAGGUUAAAAUCAUUCAUUUGGUGAUAAAAGGCUGGGAUGUAGUUGAAAUAAUGAUAAAAUGCAUAUUAAAUAUACCUAUAAUGGUGUUCAAUUAUCAAAAACAAAAUUUUUCAAAAAUUGGUUAACAAACAAUAUUCAAAAAUUUUUAUUUCCUUUCUAUCCAAAACUUUCGCACAAACCUUAUAACAGUCAUAUGAAUCAACAAAAAUUAUACAAUUCAAUAGUUAUUGUACUUACAUCCCCUCAAUUUUAAUGUAAAUAUUGCAGUUCUAUUUGUUUUUAUUUUCAUCUUCUAAAAUUCAAAAAUCAACUUGCAAAAGGGCAAACUUGAAAGAAUAUUAUAGUAUCUCUCCUAAAUACAUUUUUUAAUAUUAGUUUUACAUAACAGGGCUAACAUGUUACAAUGGUUGUCAUUCUAAGGGCGCUAAGUGUGAUUUCAGAAACUUGAGGGGUGUUAGGUGUGAUUAGAAAAAACCUCAAGGGAGGUUUCUGAAAUUAUCCCAUUUUAUUAUGUCAAGAGAAAUAAGUAUAAUUUUUUAAACCUGAAGGAAGCCGGGUGAAAUUAUAAACUUCAAGGGAGGUUUCUGAAAUUAUCCGUGUAACUAUUGUUGAUGGGCUGAGCAAUGACAGAGGGAAGGGGAAAGUAGAAGAAAUCUUAAUCCAGUGAGUGGCACUUCAUGGUCUGAAUUCAUUUUGUGGAUUUGUUGCUCGACUAUAUAUGACUCAGUUCUUAGGUACAUCAAAGCAUCCGAGCGGUCUUAAAAGCAAUUUAUUCUAUUUCGAAGCUCAAAAAAAAAAAAAACCUCCUGGUUUACAACGCGAAAGUAUAUUGCGAUAUAUCUUUACGACAAAUUAAAGGUGUGGAAUAAUUAUAUCUUCAUCACAAAUUAGGAGUGUGAGAUUUAUCAAAUAAAAAUUCUAAAAUUUUUAAUUGUGUGUUUCAUUCUCAGAUUUCCUUUAUUGCUUUAUAUUGCCCCUAUAAUGUUUAAUUUGAAAAUGGUUGCUGAGUCAUUUUGUGUUGGUUACAGGGAUUGAAUCUUACAUAUGAGGAGAUGAUUCCUGAGACAGUUGGAAGGCAUUGCUGCAGGCAUAUAUGCAGCAACUUUAAGAGUCAAUUUCCAGGUAUCUUAUUUAGCAGUUUCUUUUGGAAGGCAGCGAAAAACUAUGAUGCAAUAGGACAUAAUGAUGCAAUGGAUAGCAUUAAAGACUUUAACAUAAAUGCUUGGAAAUAUUUGGAUAAAAUUCCAAAAACUACCUGGUGUAGACAUGUAUUCUCAACUGAGUUAAAAUGUGACCAUGUCACAAAUAAUUUUAUUGAGUCUUUUAAUGCUUGGAUUGGUGAUCUAAGAAGAAAAUCAAUACUAACUUUGGUUGAUAAUUUAAGAAGAAAGUUCACGAAAAAAAUGCACAAAAGGUACUAGAAAAGUUGCAUCUUGACUGGUCACAUUACUCCCAAAAUUGUUGAGAAAUUGAAAAAAAUUAGCCAAGCAUCAAGAAAAUGUGAGAUGCAUAUGGCUAGUGAGGAUACAUUUGAGGUUGGUGAUAUGGACAGGACCUACAUAGUCAACUUGAGGCAAAGAAUCUAUGACUAUGGUGCUUUUCAAAUUUCUCGAAUUCUAUGCAAACAUGCAACAUUAGGAGCUAUGUAUAGGAGAAAAAAACUAAAGAACUACUGUAAAGUUUGGUUCACUAAAGACAUGUAUUUAAAAACAUACUCGCACAUGAUUCAUCCCAUUCCUGAUGUCAAGAGAUAGCCUCCUAUACCUGAUGUGCUACCUGUGACCAUCUUGCCACCACCUCUGAGAAGAGCUCCUGACAGACGAAGAGUAAAUAGAAGAAGGGAAUCUGAUAAAACUGCUUGCACAGCACAGGCAAAGAGGUUAAGCACUCUUAAGUGUGAAAAUUGUGGAGCUUUUGGUCAUAAUAAAAUGAUUUGCAAAGGAGCACCUGUGCAGAAAAGCUCUAGCAACACUACUCCUACUGAACAGGUAUACAUUGCCCAAAAUAUGACAUUAUCCCUGUCUCCUAAUUAUUACUUAUAGGUAUAUUGAAUUUGGUAUCACAUAUGGCAAUUAGAAGAGGUAGACCUGGUAGAGGAAUGGCUAAUACAUCUCUCUCAGGAGCAGUUCUUUGCGUAAAGUACAGUUAUCAUAAUCAAAAUUGAGUCACCUGAGUAGUUUAUCUACAGCCUGUCUCAUUGCAGCUUAUAUCUCAUGUUUUAGGAUCAUGCAUAUAGUGCUUAUCCUGUUGUGCACUCCAGUCAAGGGAGUAAUCCAAGCCUUCCAAGUCAAAAUGGUGUAGCACAUAGUCAAGUGAAUGUGCAAACUACUGCAACUAUUCAUGCUAAUAGAAAGGUAUGAUCCUAAUAUGCUAUUCCAAAUUUCUGUUAAUAACAUAAUUGGUAGCUAUUAUUUCCUAUUUCUGAUGUAAUUUAUGUCUCAAAUGUAACAGAGAGGAAGGCGUUUUGGAUACAAUCCUGCAACUUCUGCAACAAGAAUUGAUGGUAGAACAAAAAACUUCAACUCUGCUCUAACUAAUCCAGUUGUUCCAGUUCCACCUACCACUACAUCUCAAAAUGCUACAUCUGUUAGCAUAAACGCAUCUACAAAUAGCACACCAAUCAGUAAUACCAAUAGUUUCAGCAUGCUGUUUUGACAAGAUGGUGCUGAAUUCCAGUUGUUAGUUAUGUCUACUUGAAUCUCUUUUGUUGCUGCUUUUGUUAAUGCCUUCUUACAGUGAUUAAGAACUGAGAAAUUGCAAUCCUCACUAUCUGCAUAUAGUGUUUUGAUGCAGAUGGUGUUUUGUACUGUUGGAUUGCAAUGAUUAAGAACUCGUGAUACUGUAUAACUAAUAUGCAACUGGCAUUUUAGCUAAUGUAAUGUUCUGCAUUUGAUCUUUAAUCUGUCUUUUUGUUUAUUUUUCACACAAUGUUGUUUGCAAACUUGGCAUAGUGGAUGACAAAUCAGAAAUAAUGUAGCUAUUCAUUGCUUCAUUCUGAAGUCUAAAAAGCUGUAUACACAGUUUCACAUUGGUGCUUCAAAAAUUCCAAGUAACUUAGCCUUCUGGUAUGAAUCUCCUAUCACCAAAAAGGCAUCAUAUUACUUGGUACAGUAUUGCAGCACAGCAACAUGAGUUGAUCGAAUUGAUUAUACAAUUUGAAUGAAAAUAAAUAUAGAUAAUAGGGUGAGGUUUAUGAUGAUCAGUGCAUUGCCUAAGGGUCCUGGUAUCAAAAAUUGCUUUGGCUGUUGCAUUGGCCCCACAACUUGCCUAACUGGAAUGCCAUCUCCAUUUCUGGCAUUAACUUGUUCUCUUUCUGCAUUGAGGUUGUUUCUUCUACUAUUUGCUUCUUUUUCUUCACCGCUAUACCAUUCAAAGUACAUGCAUUUUGCACAACAGAAAUACAACUUGUUUGGAUUCCUUUCAUUCUCUGAUAUCAUUAUGGUUGCCUUGCGAUUACAACGGCAAAACCUAUUUUUAAUGGAGAAAGAUGUGGGUGAAUUCCAUGAUUCUCCCAUAUGGCUUGAAGAGGCCAUGGUUGCAGUUAAAACUUUUAACUCAGAGCUUUAAUUGCAGCAUAGCAAAUUCACUUUGUUAUCACUCCAAAUCAAUAGCAAAAAAUGAUAAUAGCUUUAAACCUCAGAGGUAGUUAAGUUGCUUUACUUUAUAUGCUAUUGCUACUGAAACAGCAAACCUUCUGGCCAUUGCAAAAUCUGCCAAAUAACUGUUGCAUGACACAUAUGGUUUCUGUCAAUUUUUUGUAUUGCACUUACACCCCCUCAACUUUAGUAAUCAGUCCAAAUCAUUUAUUUUUCUUUGAAUCUUCUACUAAUACAAGGAGCAAAAGGGUAGCCAUGGAAUAAAAAUACAUUCUCACACAUGAAAAUAAUAUUGUAAUCUGAUUUGGACUGCAUUGUUACCACAAAAUCAAAAGCAAGGGAGCUAAGUGAAAUUUAGAGAACCUCAGGGGAUGUCAGUGAAAGUGUCAGAAACCUCAGGGGAGGUUUCUGAAAUUAUCCCUUUGCAAAAUUAUACUAAUCUAAAAAGUUUUAAAAACAAGGAAAAAUUGUUCAAAACGUCUCUCACAUUUUACAAGAUGAUUUUUUCGCCCCCCAACUUCUAAAAGUAUAAGUUUACGUCUCUUACAAAUUCACAUUGACUAAAUUUGGUCUCUAUCUAGGUUUCUGACUAGUUUUUUGUCGAAAUCCACCACAUGACUUGCAUGUGAUCAUUUUUUAAGCGCAAAAUUAUCAAAUCAAAUUUUGACAUAAUCUGAUUCAUAGUCCCUCACAUUUCACAAAGAAUGAAACUUUUAUUCCAUAAAAAAGUUUUAGGGUAUAUUAAAAAAAUACUUUAAUAAGAGAAUGAAACUUUUAUUUAAUAAAAAAGUUGUACUCAUAAACAUUGAAAACAAUUAAAUGUUGGAAAUAAUUAACAUGCACAUUCAAUAUUCAAAAAGUUUACAUUCAAUGUAUUAUUUAUUUGACAAAAAUACAUUUAUUAUACAAAUAAGCAACAAUUCAAUAUAUUAGAUAACACAAAUAAGCAACAAAAAUUAUAUUAACGAUUAUAAGAUUUAGUAAAAUAAACACACUAACCUCUCUUGAUAUGAGAAUUUUUUUUGUCAUUGUGAAGUUCUAUCAAUCACAAAAUGGUGUUAUUUGGUAUAUCAAUUGGUUCUUUUGUAAUUGUAAGUCACUGUUCACCAUUAAAGAAAUUUCUAACAAUUGUUUUCAUUAAUUAGUACUCUAAUUACUCAAUAGUCAAAUACUAAUUUCUAAUAAGAUAUAAUGUCUUAGAGUAUAUGAAUAAAUUCUCCCUAUAUGAUGUAAGUAAUUGGGUCCACAAUACUGUCAGGAGAGGUCAAUGUAAUUUUAUAAAUCUUAAGAGAUGUUAGUAAAAAAAAACCUCAAGGAAGGUUUCUAAAAUUAUUUCAAUUUAUAAAUUAGGAUUGUGUAGUUUGAAAUUCUUCUCCUCUAAAUUUUUCUAGUGGGAGUUUUAUUCUCUCAUACGAUAUUCUUAUAAAAGUGUUUUUCAUUUUUCAUCUUUUUUAAGUUGGUGAGAUUAAAGACAUGGACACAGAUUUGUUGAAUUGUAGUGACAUUCAUCUGAUAGAAGAUAUUAUUGAAGUUUCAACGUUAUGAUUAACUUUAUAGUUUUUCAUAUCUAUUGUAUCUUUUUUUUUUUGGAUAAAAAAGAAGCCAAUAUUAGUAAUAAACUAGUUAUAAAUUAUCCAACAUAAUUUACUUAACAAAAAAAAAUUGUACUAAUGGUAUAAAAUAUAAAGAACAUGUCACAAACAGAUAUAUCUAAUUUGAAAAAUACAUAGAACACAUUGCUUAUUUUGGUAGAUUCUUAUCCCUCCUAUUCUCCAGUUGUUAUCUAUAAUAUUUUUCUUCUUUUUAAUGUAGUUGACCUUUCUCAAAAAAAAAAGUCAUAGAUAUAUCUGAUUUGAAAAUCAUUAGAUUUAACAGAAUUAUAAGAUGAGAAAGAUUAUACUAUGAACAACAAACCAUCAGAUAUGAUCAAUUACACGAAUUGCUCCAUAAAUAUCUAUGCAAGUCUAUUCCCUCAAAUAUGUUAUCAAACUAGUUCAAGUUCAAAACUGAUAUUAACAUCUAAUUAGAAGAUGCAUGAAAUUUCAGAUCUAAUAUAUAGAUCCAAAAACUCUUAGAUUUGAGAAAAAAAACAACAAAACUCUAAACAAAACUUCCAUUGGGACAGCAUAUAGGAGAUCGCUAAUAAAUAGUAGGAUAAACACUAGAAAAGAGAAAACUCUCGCUAGGAUAUCUUAGGAAAUGUUUUAUUAACAUUAAAAGAAAAAACAGAGAAGAAAAGAGAUCUUGACUUGAAAUCAAUAUCUCCCUCAUAUGGAAGAAGAACAAUAGAGAGAAAGUUGAGCGGAGAAAGAAAGCAGAAUGAAUGGGUUAGUAGUAGCGUUAUAAUAGGUUUAGAGAUCUAUUGCAUCAUUUAAUUUUCAAAUCUAUAUAGAUUCGUGUCAUAUUUGAUGUGUUUACUACUAUUAGUGUAGAAAUUGAAAUGAAAUUGUCAUUUUUAUCCAAAAAUGGAUAGUACAUUAUCAUAAUUCAUAAAUUGAGGUUCAAAUUAAAAUCAAUGGUAAUAUAGACAGAAUUUUCAUUUAACUUUAUAUCUAGUAGAAACAAUUGGCACAAUUUCACAUUUUCUUUCAAGGGGAAUUGCAUGCUUUAAUAUCUACAAUUGAAAUUAGAGUUGAACAAAUUUGUAACUUCAAUUAUUUGUUGCAAUCAACUUUGUGAUUACCAAUCCUAUAAUUUAUUCUUAUGCAUCAAUUUUCUCUUUCUAUCUCUCAUUUCUUUCUAUUUCUUCUCAUUUUCUCAUAAGGCUUUCCUCUUCACGCGGGAGACCAUGGUGUCCCUCUUAUGAAUUUCAUUUUAUUGUUUUUUUUAAUAAAAUUUCUUUUAGGGGGUUUGUAGUAAGAGUCAUUUGUUUCUCCUAGGGGUUCCUAAUAAAAGUCCUUCAUUUCUCUUAAGAAUUUCUAGUAAGAAUUUUUUGUUUGUUCCUAAAAGUUUCUAGUGAGAAAUUUCUGCUUUUAUUCUUAUUUUAUUAUUUGAUCUCAAUUUAUUUCAAAUUUGGUUGUCAAAGGUAGAGUUUGAGUUUUGGGACUAUCUCAACAGAUCUUAUCAUCAUUAUUGGAGUUUGAAAUCGUUGAUUAGCAGAUUUGGCGGUUGAAACAUGCACAGGAGGAAACUUCAGCAAUUUAUUUUAUUAGAAAACGAUUUAAAGAUUUCUUGUAUUUUCAAAUCUAUUCAAAAUCAUUCAUUUCUAUUGUAUCUGUUGUUAAAUUGCAGAUCUAUUAUUUCAAGUGUAUGUUUAAUAUGCUACUAGGGUAGAGAUGUAAAUCAAUUUGUGCUAGACAUCUUCUAACAAUUUGCUAAUGGAUUUUACUAUUCAUAAAAAAACCAACCUUAUAAUUUGGUAGACCCAAUUUACAUAUUAAUAACGAUUUAGCGAUAUCACGUGAAUUUUUCAAUAACGCUCUACUUGGAUGAGUUUGAGAAAUAUGUUUUUGAAAAAGUUUAAACACAUUUCAACCACAUUUUAACACAACAGAUGCUAGAAUUUUGAGAAUUACAAAUAUAUUAGAACUCUCUCAAUCUUUAAUUUUGUAUAGCUAGACAUGUUAGAAAUAGGCAACAAUCUAUAUCUAUAUAAAUUUGAGAAGGGAUUUUUAGCAACAAGCCUUCACAAUCCUUUCCAUUCUCAACUCUAUUUUUAUAGCAUUUUACAUUUAAUUUAUUUUGUAAAAAACAUCAUGGGCACAUUACACCCCCACGUUUUCCUCAAACAAGAAGUUAAUUCUAAUUAAACACUCCCACGUCCUCUUAAACAAGAAGUUAAUUCCAACUAACUCUCCUCACACAUCUUCCCACUACAAUUAAACUUCUUCCAAUCCAAUUCCAUGAUAAGAUUGAGUAAGAUCUCUUUCCACUUGCUGUUGGUAUUCUUAUUAGCCCACUCGUGUCAGAUGGUCGUCAUGCCACUACUGAUUCCCGUAAAGGUAAUUCAAUUUAUUUUCACUUUAUUUUAUUUAAUUUUUGUAGUUUAUCAAUAAAUAUAGUACAUUGUGCAUGACUGUCACUUUAUACUAUUCGAGCAAGCAAAUUGUAUGUCAAUUACUACUUGGAUUUCGCUCAAUACCUACACAGUUGGUAAGUUUUACAACUACCAAAAUAUUAAAUUAUUAAUAAUAUUUCAUACUCUUGUGAAUAUAUAUUUGAAAAAUUUGCAGGUUUGAGAAUCAUAAAUAUGCUCAGAAAUUAGUGACGUGGUUGCGGUCAUGUAGUUUUAUAAUGUCCCAAGCAUUAUUGAUAUCAAAUGCUAAGAGAAUGUGGAUAUCCGAAUAUGUAGUUAUACCUACGGUACUGUAGACACCAAAUUUUUGAAUUAAUUUUGUAUGUUUGGUUUUAGUGAUAAUUGGUUGAUUUUUGUUUAGACGGUUUUGCAUUUUAGUUCAUUUUCGUUUGUCUAGCUUUUUUAGGUUUUAUUUUAUUUUUAUUCCCUUUUUAGUUUUUAGUUGUUUUUGUAGUUUUUAAUUUAUAAGUUUUAGCGUAGAUUUUUUUUAGAGAAAAAAAAAGAGAGAAAAGUGAAAAUAAACAAAAAAAAGGGGGAAAAAGAAAAGGGAAAAAUGGUUUAAUGCAUACUGGCCUAUUUUUGAAAAAAAAAAGUGAAAAGUUUGAAAUUUGAAGAAAAAGUUUUUUAGUGUAAUAGGCAUUAUUUACUUUUUGAUACAUUUUAAUUGUUUUUCAAAGAAAAGAGGAAAAAAUAUAUAUUAUUAUUUCAGGUUACAAGCAUUUGUGUUUUUGAUUGCAUUUUAUUGUUAUUUCUUUAUUGUUAUUUUUAUUUAAGUAAAGAAAAGAAAAAAAGAAAAAAAGAAAAUGGAUGAAAAAUGAAAGUUGUAAUUUGCUGUUCAAUAUCAAUUUCUGUUAUUAUAAAUUUUUGUUAUUAUCAUUUAUUUCAUUUUUAUUGUUAUUAAUUUCUGUUUUAAUUAGCUGAAAAAAAAAGAAAAAAGGAAAAUUGUUGCCGCAGCAUGAAAGCUGCGGACUUGCGCCGUUUGCAAAGAAAUCUGGGACGGCUCCUUAGCUGCAAAUUUUGGAGAGUAUAGCUGAGGGUUUAGGAGGGGGGGUUCCUGGUAUAAAUAGCAAAAAGAAAAGGCAGCCGCAGGAGGAAGAAAAGAUACGAGAGGUUUGACGGCUGAAAAAAAAAUUCUGGAAAAACUAGAGGAACCGGACAGAGUGGGCGGCUGAGAGUUUGAGAGCUUCGUGAGAGAGGGCGAGAGAAGGAGGAAACAACGGCUGGGGUUGAGCAGUGAAGAAAAAGGUCAGCUUUGAGAGAGUGGAGGGGGAAAAAGGAUAGAGCAGCAGCCGGAAGAGAAAAAUAAGAGAGGGGAGCAAAACAGAAAACCGGGAGCAAGAGUGAGGGAGUAACGACAGGAGGUUCUUGGAUGUGAAGGAGAGGGCGAACGAGAGAACGAUAGAGAGAGAGAAAAAAGGGAGGAUCUUCAAAAAAAAAAAGAAAAGAAGAAAACAUCAGAAACGAGAAAAGAAAAACCGACAGGCUUGAGAGAGGUCGGCGGCUGCUGGAACAAACGGUAAAAGAAAAGCUCCAGAGAGGGAAAGGGUAGCUGCGGUUGGAGGUUGCAGGAAGACGGCGACUGGGUUUUCAUUCAUCAAAGUCUCACGUUCCUUUGAGCGUCUAAAAGAAUCACUUGAGCCCUUUUCUGGUCAUCCCACGUUCCCUUCCUUGAUCAAGGUAUUGUGUUCACCCUUUUAUAGUUGAAAGUUGCUUGUUUUAAUUGGUCGUUGGCAUCUCUUUGCCGUUUACUGGUUCAGUUUCGGAUGCAAUAUGAUUGAUAGUUCUUAUUUGGGUAAUGAAGAAUCUGAAGUUUGGGGGCUAAUGAAAUGAAGGUUCCAUUCGGGUUUUUUAUGAAAACAUACGCAUGAGAGGAGCCUCGAGAUUCCCAGUAGAAAGUUUGCAGCUUUGAUCUUUACAUGCUUGUUUCCCUUCAUCUUUUUGCUGUCUUUUGUGUCGGAUUAUGACUUAGUACAUACCUGUCACGUAAGGUUGCUAAAAAAACUCAAGGCAUCAGGGGUUGAAAAGUUUUUUUUUUUGUUGCGAGGAAAGCUUGCUGUCAAUGCUUCCUGUAUGUCGGUUCUUUGCUUUUUGGUUGGGUGUAAAUUUAGAGCUGGGAAGGCCUUGUUAGCCCGUCAUCUUGAUUACCAUUAGGAAGAGCUAAACAGGGUUUUGUCAUUCAAUUUGCUGUUUAACCUCAUGUUGAAAAGAAUGCAGAUUGCUUGAUGUUGCUGUUGUCGCUUUCUUGAAUUUUUGUCCAGCUGAGAUUCGAUGCAUAAUUUUCUGCUGCAACAAGCUUGAAGCUCUCGGCUUGUUGCAGCAGCAUGGACAGACCCUUUCUUUUUUCUUGGUUUCCUGAAGCUUUAGCUUUGCUUAACAUGUCUGAUCUGCUUGCCAUUUGCCUGAGAUGUCAUGAGAAUGGUUGGGAGCUUAGUAGUGGAGGCUUGUAGUUCGCUUGAUUUGUAGUUGCUGAAAGGAAAACCUUGCUGCAGUUUUCUUUAUUUCUUUUGUUGUCGAUCAAAACCAGAUUUGCCAUCUUAAUCCUGCAAACAAAAUUUCAUGUUUUAAUUUGGGUCAAUAAUUUCUGGUUUGAUGAAUUUGUUUGUAUGAUGAAAUGGGUGUAUUUGCUGCUGAAAAAUUGCUGAAGUUUGUAUGUUUGAGUCCUUAAAGCAUUUGAACCAUAAUCAAAAACAUUGCUGGAAUUUGAACGAGAUCAGGAUUGCUGAACCUUUUUGCAUAAAAUUUUCCAGCAUUUGCAUGUUUUUCCUUCUAUGCUUUGGUUUGUUUGAAUGCUGAAGUUGUGUGUUGUGUGGCUUGACUCAAAGUUUGGACAUGGGUUUGAGAGAAUUUGUCCAAAGUUUGUGUUAGUUUCUUCUGAAAUCUGAAUGAAGAUGAAAAUUGCAGCAAACUCUCCCUUUCUGUCUUAGUAGCUUCAUCCGCAAAUCUGCAUGAAAAGUUUAAUAAGUUGCGUGGUUUCUUUCCAAGUUCAUUGUUCAUUGGAUUAUGGUAUUAAUAUGUGUUGAAGUAAUGAUUUUGUUUGGGUGAAAAGUUUGGUUAAAGAUGGUUUGCUGAAGUCCAAAAUUUGCGUUAGAAAAAUGCAGCAAGGUUGUUGCAGAAGAAAAGAUUCUGCGUAUGUUGCAUGAGCUUCAUGAAAAUGUUUUCUGAAUUUUGCCUUUUGAUCCCCAAGUUCCCCUUUGUUGCACUGUGGCCCAAUUAUGUUUUAAUUUCUUGCAAUUAAGUCCUAGAAUAAUUGCACUUUGACCACCAAGUCCCCUCUUGACUCACUAUGGCCCAAGUAAUUGGAACACUUAAUCAAUUCGAUCCCUCAAGUUUCUCCAUGUUCCACAAAAGCCAAGCAUGUUCCAACUUCUUGCAAAUGGGUUUUAGAAUAAUGCAUUUUAAGCCAUUACUUGACUUUUUCUUUGCCUUUGGACCCCUGAAGCUUUUAAGAAUGUUUGAUUAAGCUUGAAUGCUUGGCUAGUGUUCACAUUUGAGUCUUUGGUAGCAUUAACGUUUCAAUUCAAUUGCUUGUUUGCCUUCAUUGGUUAUCAUGUUUUGCUAAGGUGAUACUUAAUGCAAGAGUUUAAGGGCUUUAUGACCAAGUGAGCUUGUGUUUGCCAAUUUUCUUUAAUUUUCCCCAAAUAAAUUGGUACCUUAACCAUUUCUUUUAUUUUGGAGGAUAAAUAAGUGAUUUCACUCCAUUUAGAGCAUCAAUUCAAGGGGGCGGUAUAAUUUCUUUUAUCCCUCUUUGUAUCUCUCCUAUGUGACUCAACGUGCUAAGUGAAUUGCAUGUCUACUUUGCUUUCCUAGCUUUUCUUUAAUUCCUUUUACUUAUGUCAUUUACUUUUUGUUUUCAUUAAGUUAUUCUUUUAAUGGGGUAUGUGUACACCUCUUGGCUUCUAAUAGAUAGGGCUGUGGCGAGCAAUUUGGUCCAUUUUCCCUUUCCCCUUUUUGUUUUAGUUAGUGAAUGUAAUAGGUUCAUUAGCUUGGUUGCAUGCCUACGUGUUAAGUGUUAAUUUGCUUUGUUAGGGCCUUGCAUCUAGUCGAGCAUGCUAAAUGUUAUGUGCUAUGUGUUUAUGAGUGUUUGGCAUGUCUACUCGCUUUCCAUAGCCAUGAAUGAAUAUGAUGGAUGAAUGUACGUUUCCGCUAGUCCAACGCUAGUCGGAAUUCAUAGAAUGGGCUAGUCCAACGCUAGACCCUUAGGGAUUUCCCCUCGUUAGUACAUGUUUGCAUGUUCAUUACAUGUCAUGCAUUCUUUUUAGUUUUAUCAUUUUUGCAUGCUCCUCGAACCCCUUUUCCCCUCAUUUUAGGAUUUUGCAUUUCAUACUAGUUAUAAGGUAUACUUGCGUGAGAGUCCCCUCCGAUAAGGGAAACGAGCGAGUGUGGCUACUCGAUAGCCUUAGCACGCUAGUUUUGCCUUCUAAUCAAAGGGAAAAUCGAAGUCGAAAAAGUUAGGAGUCAUUCCCACACCCGACCUGAUGCAUUCCUUUAGGUUCAUUCAUUCUCAUUUAUCACUUACUCAUUUUUUUCCAAUUCACAUUUCCUCAUCACUUUUCCUUUUCUUAUUGUUCAAUUUGAUUUCUACUUCACAAAAUUGCACUUAAUUUCACCUAUAUGCACUUAUCACUAUAUUUCAUACACUUGCACACAAACACUUGGAUUUUUUAUACAAUUUCACACGUUCACCUUUUUAUACACUUGCACACUUGCACUUUAGCCAUCAUUUGCAUUAAUCGACCUCUAUAAGGUUUUCCUUUAUUGGCCGCCACAAUUCAUGUGGUUGGGACCAAAAACCUUUCAAGAGACAUUUUAGAAUUUAGGUUUGCAUUUUUUCCUUCUUUUUGCAUUCAUGUAGUGCAUCCAAAUGUAAUAAAUUCUUUGGUUAAAACAAGAAAAUCUUUGAUUAAAUCAUGCAACUAGCCUUGGUUAGGUCAAAGGGGUGCCUUGGAUUUUAUCCUUGCCUUCCUCUUUGUCAAAUGUGACUCCCGAACCUUUUUCAUUGGUUUACGUAGAUUAGGAGUCGUUUAAAAAGGGUUUCUCACUACUUUUUCCUAUUUUUCUUUAAAAAUACAUUUUUUAGGUGACUUGGUACACCUUAACUCAUUACCAAGUGGCGACUCCGUAUUUAGUUUUAAAAACCCUUUUUAAACUAUAAUUUUGGGUCAAAUCGUCGCAUUCUCAAAACCCCAUUUAGACGCAUUUUUCUUUUAAAUCACGAUUCAUUUUCCAAUCACAAAAAUACAUUUUUAAACCAUUCAUUUAUUUAUCAAAAAAUGGGGCGCGACAGGUACAAUUCCUCUCAAUUAAUUAAGUAAUGAACAAGUAUCUACAUGUAGUUUCGAAUUAAUAAUUGUGAUCUAUACAUUCUUCGGAUUGUUUUAAAUUAAAUAUUUUCGAAUACUUGCUUACAUUCAAAGUAUCAACAUAGACAAUAUGUUCCAUGAGUUAUGCAAAAAUUGUGGACAACCAUGUCAAUCUCAUUUUGCAAAAAUGGUGGUAUCCACUGUAAUGACGUAAUCGACACUAUUGUCAGGUAAUUAUUUUCAUAUAUUUUGAAUUUUAAUAUAAUUUUUUACUUCAUACAUCACAAUUUCUUCUUAACAGGUACGAUGUUAACAUAGAAGUUAGAGAUUUCGGUGGUAACUUAUACCUCGCUCUUCAAGACAGACAUGCACGAUUCAUGUUUCAUUGUGAUGCUUUUUAUCUUAGAGAUUUAAAAACAAAGGUAUACAUUAUUUAUAUGUAUAUAUUUUUAUACAAUAUUAUUUACAAACUGUCUAAAACAAAAGAUAAUUUUGAAUUAUGUAUGCUUUUAAUUGUCAAGAAAAUGGAGGUGCAUUGUUCGACCAACACAUUAAUUUAUGCAAAAAUCGUGCAUUCUCAUUUAUAGUAUGAACUCCACAAAAAUCAACAGAAUUCAUUAAACCCUCAAUACUGGCGUUCGUACUCAGAGUCGAUUGGUGUGAAGAAUGUUCACGCCUUCGUAGAAGAUUAUCAAAUCGAAGGCAAAAUGUUUGUAAGUAUUUAAUUUAUUUAUCAAAUUAAAUAUUCAAUUAUAUUUAAUUAGAGCCUUAUGUCGCUCAAUUUAUGAUAUAGAUUUCUAUUUUUUUUUUCAGGAUCCAACAUUCAUCAAAGUGAUAGUCUAUAAGUAAUGGAGAUGUUUUUAUCAUAUAUUGAAUUAUUGUUAUAAAGUUUCAUUUUUUAAAAAAUAUACUUUCAUGUGCCCGUGAUUAUAACAUUUUACUAUUUUUAAAUUCCUCUAUAAAUUGUAAUUUUUUUUCAAAAAUGUAAUCUACUGUGCGUGGCACGGGUAUUUAUACUAGUUUCUACAAAUCAAGAAGUAAAAAUGGCUUUAUUUUAGGAACAAGAGAUAAAAUGGCGAUACACAGAAAAAAUAGUGGCUAAGAAUUGUUUCUAAAUUUGAAGUGUCUUCACAAUCCUAUUUUUUCAAAUUCUUUAUCAUGUAUUACACAAUACUUGAACGAAUUAAUACAUUGCUUUACAAAUAGUACUAGGACCUCUUUAUUGUUGGAGACAAUUAAGUGGAGAUUUGAACAAGCCUACUCGAAUUUUCUUUAGGUGAGUUGGAGGCCAAAACCAGAUUUACAUAGUUUUAUUCAUUGUUGGAGACAAUUAAGUGGCGAUUUGAACUAGUCAAAUCCCGCAAUUGAUUGUAUAGAAAGUGUGCAGUGAGAGGUGGAAGGGUUAAAAAAAAAGUGGAGAUUUAGGCCUUGUUUAAUAACUCAAUUCAAUAUUGAAACUUAAUGGAUUCAUAUCUUAAUAUAUUCAGACUAUUUGAUCUUAAUAUAUUCAGAUUGUUUGAUAAUAAAAAAUUGAACAUAUGAAUUAAUUAAAUGGCACUAAAUUUUCUAAACAAAACUUGCUUUUAAAAUUAAGUGAUAAGUGAAUAACUUAUCACUUAAUAUGAUAUGCACUUAAAUGUAUUAUAUUUAAUAUUUAACAACUUAAUAAUUUAAUAGAUUCAAAAUUCAGAUUUCAGAUUUCAGUUUUAUCAAACUACUUUAUUAAACAAGCAGGCUUGAAUAUUUUUACGUGAGUUGGAGGCCAAAACUAGAUUUACAUAAUUUUGUUACGGUUCAUAUCUAUUAGAGUAUUGUUUUUUUUUAGGCAUUUACCAUGCUUUCCUAGAAUAUCGGCAUGUGAAUUUUGUGUUUGGAUAGUAGAUUAAUUGGAAUAGUUUAAAAAAAAUACUAUAAUAUUUUUUUGAUGUGAUAUAUGUAAAAUAAAAAUAUAAUUAAAAAAUAGGUUAACAAUGCAAACAAAUAAAUAUUUACGAAUGAUCCACUGUCCAAAACAUUUAAAUGAGCCUGCAUGCACAUCCAUGGGGAUUUAGAAACUAGGAGUAAACCAGUUAUUGGGUCCAGAGAAUUAAUGGCACGGCUUUUAAGUCCAUUAGCCUUUCACAUAAAGCACAUCGUCCAAGACACCCAUCUUGCAACCGAUUAUCAUCCAAUCACUCGAACGGAGGCUCAACAUUCCUGCCCAUAGAGCCGACAACAUAGUCCAGAGCCCAUCAAGCCUGCGCACCAAAAACCCCUAGAAUUGAUGAGAAAUCAGCAGGCAGCAGCGUGGCAUGGAACGCCAGUGUAACGUGGCAUACACAAGUCUCAUACACGUUAUUUCCUGCACUUUGCAACACCUCUAAAAUCACAUUAUCAUUCAUGUUUGAAAAUUCGGGUGAAAAAGUUGUAGAACUUUGCAGAUUUUCCUGGAGUUUCCAAGAACAGUGCCUGGCAGAGCAUUCUUUUAUCUUCUAGUGUAUGUUGGUACUUACUUUUCCCUUCUUGUUAAUUCUCGCCGUGUUUUUAUUGGGAUCAUGUUCAAUACAGUCCUAUGCAUGAUACAUAUAUAUAAUGAGAUCAUUUGAAUGACUGGUUGUUUUUCUUCUGUGUUGUCAAUAUUGGAGGAAGAAUUUGUUUUCUUGAAUUGAUUUCAAAUUGAUAUAUUUGGUAGCUGCGUUUAUAAGUUGCAAUAAGCUCCUGAAAAAUGAAGGGUGUUAGUAAUAUUGGCAACAGCUGCUUUUAAAACUGAUGUUUGCCACUGUAGGAAUGAGUAGCUUGACUAGUUUGACAAACUUGUGAUUCUGUGAAGUUAGUAUUUUUAUGUUAGUCCUUUUAACUUCUUUAAUCCACAUAUGUUCUGGAAGAAGCAUUUUUUGAUUCUUCAUGCUCCAGAGAAGUAACUUUGGAUAGAGAUUUGUCAAAUAACUUGAGGGACUAAAACAAUUCAAAAGCUUGUAUAAUUGAUUUUGUAUGGGAGAAGUGCUAGUAUUUUUAAGUGACAAGUAAUGUGAGUAAUGGAAUAAGGGAGCUGUAAUCAAUAUCAGUUCUAGGUGAUUGCAGAUCCUCUUUCGGAUCCUUAGACCGAAACUUGUUUCAUUCCAAUUGGUUAACUGAAACAUUAUUUAAGCAUAUUGAGUUGCUUUGCACGUUCAUUUUGGUAAAAAACCCUUCUGUGCAUUCAAGAAAUUUUACUGUCAGCAAAAGAGGGAAGAAAUAUUGCUGUUGGCUUGUCCAUUUGUAUAGAGAGCCAGUGAAGUUUGAAGUUGAAACGUUGUAGAUGAAGAAGGAAAUUUUGCAUUAAUUCGAUCUUUUUUUUUUAUUCAAAUUUCUGUUUGUUUGUGGCAUAUGAGUAGUUUUAAAGUUGCUUUUGAUGUUCUUCUUUUGAAGUUUCUCAUUUUAUCUACUGAAUUGUAGAUAAGGGGUCUUUUUUUUUUAAGGGAAAACUGAAAGGAAAAGGGAAAAACUAAAACUUAACAUCAUCCCAGCAAAGAAAUGAUCAAGUCUCAUAGUCAAAGUAUCGGAUAGUGUUACACCACCUAAUUCUCUUGGUUACAACAUUCCUGUCCUCUUCAAUGUUGUAUAACAAUUUGCAAUGAUCAGGUCGUUGAGAAUUAUUUCUAAAAGUCCCUGCAAAAACUGAAUAGAAGUUUGAACAAAACCUACUAAUACUAUAAUGGUACGUAUGGCAAAUCCAUGAUAAUUACAUGGUUGGUUUAGACAUGUUUUUAAGAAUGAAUCAAGAACAAGCAUAAAGAUCAAACCUGUAAUCAGAUGUAAGCAGUUUUUCGUUUCCUUUCUGAAGCUAGGGAUGACCCCAAUGUUCUCUUAAGCAAAACAAAUUCAAAUGAGUAUGGACAAUCUCUUCAGACUGCAAGACCAUGAUUGAGGGCUUUCUAACAUGAAACACCCACUGGCAGGUAUAGAGUAUUUUCACAACAAAACAUGAGCUUGACACUUCUGGAAGUUUUUUCAUCUUGAAGGCUCUCCCCACGCGAAAUGGCGGAUUUAACUUGAGUGAAUACAGGUUUCAAUACCAUGAAGAUAUAAGGAUAAACAAAAACAGUCACUAAUGACAAGCAUACCACAGUUUCUAUGUCCUUUUGUUUUUCAAAACAAAUGUCUCCAUCCGUACACGAUAUGAUCAAGAUAAAAGAAAUUAAGGCUUUCUAAUGGAGAUAAGUCUCCCAUUAUUGCGACCUAGCUAGCACUUUGACAUAGUUAAAAUUGUAACAUAGUUCCUCUCACAUGUCAAUGCAUUUAAUUAAAAGUAUUAACUCAUGAUAGGGAAAGAUACAUAGAUUCAAAAUUCUUAACUCCCAAACUUUUUUUAGGUGUUAGAUGCAUUGAGAUGACACAUAUUUUAAGGUUUUUUAGUGCUUUUGUAGACCAAGGAAAGUCCAUUUGAGGCACUAGAGAAGGGGGACAAGGGAUGCCAAUAUGAAAGAACCCAUGCUCAUUUACUCAAUGCACAAGAUAUCCAAAAAUACUACUGAAAAUCAUAACGAAAGUGAGGAAUUCUAAGACGGAUAAUUGAAACUGAAAGCAAACAGGUGUAAAUGGAAAAGUAUUUCCUAAGGAUACAGCCUAAAGAAUUCCUAGAGUUAAAAUGGAAUUCCAAUGAAUAAGGACAAACAGCUAUUUGAAGGAGAAAUUGAGAUCUCCUAGUUCCUAAAACAGAACUUCAAUAAAAUAAGGAGGAGAAGUUAUUCAAAGGAGAGAAUAAAAGCAUUGGAUAACUCAGAGCAUGAAAAAAUUUGAAGAUUACCUCUACAUUUAAAGAAGAAAGUUGUUUGAGAAAUAUAAUCUGAAACAACGAAAGCUAGUUGUUGAGUUGCUUCAGAAAAAGUGGGAACUUGUCCAACCACAUCACAUCCAAUUUUAAUUUUAGAGUUGCAGCAUACAGCAAGCCAAAUCAUAUGUUUUCCAGACUACUGAAAACUUUUAUGUCUCUUAAGUCACCAUUUGUCUUAAAAGGAUUCAGAAGUUUCAUUCAUACUGCAUUGCAUUUGGUGAUCAGUUUUUUUUUACCUGCUUGAUUAUGUAUACUCUGUGCACAAUUAACUGCCAGAAAAUUGUUUUACACUGAGUAUGUUCCUAUUAAUCCCGCAUCCUUGAAACUUUUUCAUUGAUAACUUGGUAGUUACUUCGACUCGUGCAUUUAGGCAUAGGUUGAUGCCAUUGGUUUUGUCUUCAAUAUAUUGUUAAUUCUUUCGAUUAAGAGUUUUUCGUUUGAUGAUAAGCUUUAUUUAACAAUUUCUGUUGUCUUUCCUGGUUAUGAAGUACAUCAUACCGACGAGUGAAGAAACUUAGGAUCGUGUCCCUUUUUCUUCUGCAAGUACAGAUCAACCAUGGAGCAUGUCUCCUUCAGAGAUGUGGAAGGUAAUACUUAUUCUAUGAGGUUCCUAUUUGACUCACUUCCACUCUAUACCUCCUCACCUCUCUCUCUCUCCAUCUGUCUCUCUCUCGCAUACAUCGAACAGCUUCUCUUUUAUAAAAUUGUUGAACGGAAAGGCAAAUUUUCUUUGGAAAUCUGCUUUCUGACUUUGGUAAAGCUGGUUGUCUCAAGUUAGGGAGGUAAAAUACUGAAUCUGAAAAUGAAGCUUAUUCCUCAUGGACCCUUGACAAUAAUAGUGUGAAAAGCAUGAUAAUAGUCUUGGUUGGUUGAGAUAUUGACUACACAUUGUCUUGAUGAACUAAUACUUAGCUUUUAUUUACUAUUUUAUAUUCUUACUGGAUGUCAUUAUUCUUCUGAUACAAUUUCGUAGUUUUAGUAUCUGUUCUUGGCCUUUAUGUUUUAACAGGUGUAAACGUCUGACAGGUUCUUUUCAAAAACUGUUGAUGACUUUUGUCUAAUGAUAUUGUUUCUUUGACUAAUGAGUAACUAGAUUUGAUUCUGGAAAAGGUCCUUUUCAACCAAGAAAUUAAGCUAAUGGGGAAGAUUCUGAUCAUAGGAUAUGUCAUCAAUUGACAAUUGUGGGCAGAGCAGAUUAGAUCAGAAGCUGAUGUUAAGUACUCCCAUGUUGUAAGACUUAGCUAUAUCAGCUGCAACAUAGCUAUUUUGAACUUUAGCAAGUGAGCAAUUGAUGGUCCUUAAAUGUCUUCAUAGGCUCGACAUUCUGUUUCGUCAAUAUUUAAAUUAAAGCAAAGAAUGAACCAGGACAUAUUUGAAAUACAGCAUCGCUUUGGUAGCUGUAAAACUGCCCUUAUGCUGGUUUUGAUUUUUGCGAUUGCUGGAAUGUUAUAGUCUCAACUUCAUCAGCUGUUCAUAUUAACUGACGGGAAGCCUGCACAUUAAACUAUUUUCGGUAGCCAUAGACUUCGGCCUGAUAUGACAAUUUUGCUUCAACCUUAAUUGACAAACUCUUUGUGGAUCCAUGAUUCUCAGAGAUUUUAGGACUGCAGUUAAGUUUACAAACAAUUGUUAAAUCAGCUUCAUAUUUUUCUUUUCAUUUUCAAGCAUCUGCAUGGUGCCAUUUGCGGUUGUUAAUUACCUUGCCUUGUCUGGUUCCAGCUUUUGCUAAUCUAAUUGAUUAUAAUUCUGCAACUUUACAACUAGCAUUUGACGUUAAACCCUUUAAGAUUAGCUGCGCACACUUAUCUCCUCUUGAACUAAACCUGAUCGCAAUCCUAAUGCAACAGGUAGUACUAACCAAAGCACAAAAAGUCAGGUUGCUGGAUCUGCUCAUUUAGAGCUGGAUACAGUAGAAGGUUCAAAAGAGAAACAAGGUGGCCAAAGAGAUAAUCCGCAAGUCUCCAGAGCAGAGAAUGAAGUUGGGCAAAAUAUAAAGGAGGAUAUACCUACGGCAUAUACAGAAACUCCAGGGAAAGUAAACAUGGAGGCUUCUAUUUCAGCUGAAGAUGUUAUGCAGGCAGGGGGCUUUGGAGCUAGAGAUGAUAUAAAUAGUUUCCUUCCUGUUGCAAGUGACUUCACUGACUUUGAAGCUUCUAUUCUUGAUGCCCGUAUAUAUGAAGAACCACAGAAAGAGACCAGCAGACCUGGCCUGGGCUGGACGGAAUCUCAGAAGUAAUUCUCUAGCUGUGCAUGUCAUAUGGAGUUACUGUGGUGCUUACUCUCCUACACCUGACCUAGUUCCUGGUGAUUACUUGUGUACAUGGUGUUCAUGCAACCCUGACCCGCUUUCUCUUCAAACAUCUUAUUUGCUUUCUAGCAACAAUGAAUUUAUCGUUAUGGUUGGAAAAGAUGUACUAAUCAUUCAGAAAAAUGCUUUUAUGUCCACACUUGUUUCUCAGUCUGUUUUGGUCUCAUCUUGGUCUCCUUUUUGUAAUGUGCUAGAGCGCAUAGGCUUCCCUUUUUUUUUUUGUUAGGGGAAUCUAAUUUAGCUUGGGGUUCAUGCUCAGAUGUUAUCUGUGCUUUGAUGCGCUCUUUAUUAAUACAAGGUAGAUAGUCACUGCUCCUUUGCUGAGGUUCUUGUACAAAAUUACAAGAUUAUUUACACGUUGAUGGUUAGCACCCUAUUUGCCUCAAGAUGUUAAGGGGUAAGCUUAGUGCACAGUGCCCCUGCAAAGUGCGGUUUGGAGAGGGCUAGGCACACAUAAGCUUUACCCCUGCAUCAUGUCUUGUACUCUAUCCACUUCAAAAGCUCUAAUCAAUCAUCCAAAGGUCAUUGUCACUGAAAGGCAACUGCUUUUUUGAAAAUCCUCUGACCGGGAGCAAGGAUUGCUAAAGGGUCAUAGGUGGACUUCCUUCGGCUGAAGACUUCCCACUGUUUGCCGAAGUGAGCUUUCCACUCAUCCUGUGUGCUAUACUGGGGCAGAUAUUGUUUCACCCCAAGUUGAGUACUUGCACAGAAAUUCAAAAUCCUUUUGUUUUCGCUGAGAAUGUGUUCUAAACCAUCUUUUCCAGUGGAAUAUGGAAUGGCAGAGGACAAGAAAGCAACUAGGUAGAAAAUAUCCUCCUCGGGGGUGACCAUUGAUGUUCCAUUUCUCCACCUGAAAUGCACAGACACGUGAUAUUAGUUCAGAGAAUCAAAAUAUCGUUCUCAAAAGAUCUAUCAGGUUGUGAAUGGAGAAAGUACUGGGAUUUAUUCACUGGAUAGAUGAGAAUUGGGCCAUUGCUAGUGUCUCUGAUAAUGUUCCCAAACACUCCUGCUGCAAAGUCAUGGAUCUUGCUCUUAGGAACUAGGAGAUUCAGCCAUGGAUGAGGAAUCUCCCACAAACCUUUUUUCCGGAGUUUCAUCUCUGAGAUAUGGACUCUGUCCAGGAAUUGCACAUAAGGGACCUCUGAUUGGAAGAGUGUUGAAGGAAUGUAGUUCAACUCUGACAAUAUCGUCUCAAUAUUCUGCAAGAUAGGCGUCGUAACCGGUCAUUGUGAACAUACUGAGAUAACCACAUAUUUGGUGUGUCUCUGGAAGUAUGGGCUCAGAAAUGUGUUACCUGAUUUACGUCAUAGUUGUUUUCUGGAUACAAGUAUUUUGCUACUUCUAGGCAGAAUAGAACUUUUCCUUCAGAUUGUAACUGGCUGGAACGAACAGGGUCUUUCGGACUGAAAGAAGAUUGCCAGUCGUUGACCAAUCCAGUUCUGUUUAUGAUCACAAACCCUUCUAUGUAGUCAAAAGAGUUCUGAGAAGAUAUCAGAAAUUCCUGAUCCUCGGUGAAUAUGGAGAAAUCUGAGUACAGCACUCUUAUCCAUUUUACCUGUGACAAGAGAUAAUAUAAUAUAAUUUAUGAACGAAACUAUGGUGGUAGUCUUGGAAAGAUCUUCGACGAUAGCGAAGAUUCUUACCAUUGUCGGAGCUGGUCCAAGAGCAAUUCUUGCUCGUGUGAUAAUACCAAAUUGUCCUAAUCCGCCAAGAACUCCAUGGAACAGGUCGGAGUUCUCGUCAUCUGAACACCUAACCACCUCUCCUGUACCUACAAAAGCAAUCACUGUCAAGGCUUUCCGAAAAAUCGUGCUUUUCACACACUAGGACUAAGUAUUUGUAAAGAGAGAAUAUUUAAGGGCUGGUUGGACGAUGCAUAAUAUUAAGCAUCCAUCGUAUGACCUUAAUACAAUGAAAUCAUGGAGUGCUAGGAGUGGAAACUCAAUCAGCAAUUCAGCAUUAAAGCUAAAUCAGAUAUGAUAGCCCGGCGUAGACUGGUAACUUGUGCCUGUUUUGUCGUAGAAGUCUUUAAGAGCAAAUAAGACUGCUUGCAAGAACAUACCUGUGACAACUUCUAGUUGGUGGACAUUAUUUAUCUGUGGUCCAUGCCGGAAUGCUUGGCCACUGACCCCAGCAUUAGACAAGGUGCCACCAACUGUGAGAUGAAGAUAGUCUGUCCAGGAUUUCGGCGUUAGCCCAUGUUUAAGACUCUCAUGCAGGAUGUUAAUCCAAAGUUCACCACCAGAAACAUCAACAUAUGGCAUCUUCCCGGGGUAAAAACGCAUUUCUGGGUGCCGAAGCGACUCCAUACUCAUAAUCACUCCUCCUCUGGCCUGUGCUUGUCCUGCCAGGGAGUGGCCACGACCUCUUGCAGCAACAGUGAUGUCUGAAGAGCCUCCCAUACCAAAGACAAGUUUUAUGGUGGAGGAAAUAUCAGAAACUGAUUGUGGGUGCAUAACUGCUAAGGGGAGAGAAUGAUAUCUAUUGCCAAAAUCUUUUGCAGCAUGAUCUAUGCUAUCAAAACUGACAUUCCCAUCUAGUUUUAAAUGUUCCAGUGAUGAACGGAUGGUCGAGGAACCCAAUUGAAAAGAUGCAGUAGGUUUGGCAAGAGUUUGUUUAGAAGACAGGUGAUUCUUGUUCAUUGUAAAACUGGUCAACAGAAGUAUGAGAGACGCGAGGAAAAUCUUGUUCCAUUUGAGCAAGCCAUUAGCAUAGGAACUCAUGAUGACCUCUAAAAAUAUCUCUAUACCUUUGUAGAUAGAGGAGGGAGGCAAAGGGCAAAGGUUUUUGGAAGGAGUAGAGAAGCUGAUUUCUUUCGUUUGUGUUUCUUUUGCUUCCUGUGAGAGUCGAGACUAAAGAGAGAUGUGGAGAGUAGCCAAAGUGAAGAGAGACUUAAGAAUAUAUAGAGAGGUAGAGAAAAAGCAGGGAUGUACCUCCAACAGAAGCCAUUGGCCAAAGUGCCUAUCAGUACCAUCCAUUAUUUGCAAUGGGGUGUUUUGGAAUUUCCAUUGGUUUCUCUUUUGGGUAUGAAAAGUUUCCACGGAAAAGAGGAUCUUGUAUAUUCUUUUCAAUUUUCGCAAGAGUUGCAGCAAACUUUGUUGAGUUUAAGUACUCAUCAAAACUUUUUUGGGGCUUUAUCCCAUAUCGAGCAAAAAUUGGUAUAUCUGAGUUAGUAUGGAAACAGCCGCUUUGCGCACAUUUGGUAAGCCUUGUGACUUCAGUUUUGGUUGAGGACGAUUCUGUAUGCUGCGUCCAUGUAGCAGCACAAACCACAAAGUCAAGUUUAUUUUAUGUGCAAUGGACAUUGAUAGUAGUAAUAGUGGUACAGUAACAGUUAAUUUUCUGGUUGCUUUGUCCCCACUUUGAAUAAAAUUAAACAACUUUGACUUCCAAAUUCUCAUUUUUUCCCCUUAUUAACACACACAGGCCAACAUUUUGUCCUACAUUAGAGAUGUGGGAUAUCCACAUCUCUGGAUAUUCUUGUGAUUUUUAUUCUCAAAUACUUAAAUUUUAAACCAGUGAUUAAGUGUACACUCGGUUCGUUACUUACUGUUUUACUAAUUAUCUUGCAAAAUUAUGACCUCUAUUUUCCUGUGGAGAACAGUGAUUUAUUUGAUUUUUCAUAUUAUUUUUUUUCUUUUUUUUAAAAAAAAAAAACCUUUUCCUUUUAAGUCAAGCUGGUGGCUUUGCAGCUAGAUGUAGUAGGAGUGUCAGAUUUUUUUCAGAAUGGAUUUAGUAAGUUCCUCUUAUGAGAGCAAAAGAUGGUGCGGCCCCUACUACGUGCCAUGCAGUUCAAGUUUGGUGGUGGUCCUGUGCUGAAUCUGUUCAUAAUUCCUUCAAAGGGUUAUAAUUAUUUCACUUUGUUGGAGGGUAUCAUUUUUUUUGGAGUAACAUUAUUUAUGGGAAUUAGCAUCAUCCAAGAUAUAGACACGGGAUCUUUAGCUGAGAUAUAGACAUGGGAUCAUAAGUUGAUUUCUCCAUCAAUGGCCUGAGUAAGGUCCACAUUCUUCUUCUUUAUAUUCCAAACAUAAAUGUUGAUUGAGAUGCUUGUUCAUUCAGAUGGUUACCAUCCAGAUAAAUCAAAUCCUAUUCAAGGACAACCCCAGAUUGGCCCUUUAGAUUUUGGAAAACUUCCAAGAAAGUCCUAAUUGUUGUGGGGUAAAAUUCUGUCAGAUUGGCUGCAACUACACUGUCAUAGUAACACUUUAUCAUAUGAAUGAAGAAGAAGAUUAAACCAGAACACAUUCUUUAUGUUUGACAGAAAAUGGGAAUCGGAGACAACUAUUCGGCUUAAAAACAUUUUGUAAUGAACCAUCUGUUUUAGAGAUUUGUAUUGUAUUAGCAUAUACAAUGAGACACAGGAUAGGAAAGUUCGGCAAGUUUGCAAUAUGACAGAAUACUGGCUUUGUUGACCUUGUGCUUCUGUUUUUGGUGUGCAAGACAUUCAGAUGAAUUUGUCUGCUUUUUUCUAUUAUUUAUGCCUGCAUCCUUGACUAGUCUGGGAAUAUUCUUUGCGUAAAACCUCCAUCAGAACAUGGUUUCAAUCCUGAAACUGGGAACCAGUUGAGGGCAUUGAAUGUAGGGAUUUGAAUGCAACAACACUCACUUUCAUAAUGUCGAAAAAGAAAUUGUGAACUAAUGUGGAGGAACUCUACAUAGCCAAAGACUCAAGAGAAAGGCAUUUACCAAAUAGCAGUAACAACAAAAUAUCGUACUCAUCAAAGGAUAACAAUAAAGAAAAAAAGAAAUCAGCAGGAAGGUAAUUUAACUACGUUUACCUUGCCUAGAGUUUGUCUACUUUGGCAUGUUCAAAACCAGAAAAAUCUUUCAAAAAGCUGCUCUGUCUAUUAACAAUCAUGGUGUUUUUCUGUUACUAUUAUUGUCUUUAGCUCUUGACAGGUAUGGUCCUUUCAUUACAUGUACUUGAUUGGUUAAAUGCAGUUCCCAAAAAAAAAAAAAAAAAUCAAAGGGUAAUUGCUUAAUUAAGGAUACAUUUGUGGAGGUUGCCUUUUAUUUUUUUUCAGUUAUGAUGGUCUCUUAUGUUGUCUGUAUAAAGCUAGCUUUUAGGAAGUGGUACGAGAUUGGUGGAUGAUCAUCUAAUUCUUAAAAACUAAUGCAGUUCUAAAGAAACCUGAGGAAAUACUUUCUUGUGACGUAUAGUUAAGCCCAAAGGGCUUAUAAACUACCAAGGAAUCUUGACAUGUUUAACAUUUGACAAAUUUCUGGCUGACAAAUGUAUAUUGUAAUUCGUAAGCAAGAAAAGAAUAGUUGUCUAUAUUAAUUAAUAAUAGUGGCGGUUAAUCAUACAAAUCCAUUCAUAUCAAACACUAUGGGUAAGGACAGUGAUUCAAGAAUAAGUCUGCCUUGUAUUGUCAGGAUUAAGGAUAGUAUCAUCUGAUUAGCAUAUUCCCAAAAAUGUCUCUCCAUUCUUUUAUAAAUGCACAUCUAAGAUGGAAAAAAAAAACAUAUAAAUAUGUUUUUGCCCCCAAAGCUGGCAUCAAUUAUUCUGACCAUACAUACAUACAUAUGUACAUACAUACAUGUGUCUAUACGUGUUUGUGCGUGAGCACGAAUUUAUGAGUUUGUAAGAAAAAUAUGUUUUAACUACGCGCCUACGUACAUAUGCAGUCAUACCAAUUGGUAGGGAUCAAGAGUCUUUAUAAUUGUCAGUAGUAAUUGCACCGUAUAGAAUAAAUUGAGACAUUGAAACAAUUAAUGUAGCAUAAGAAUAUGUUCUAGCCAUUGGCGAAGAAAGAAAGAAAGAGAGAGAAAAAAAAAGGGUGAAAAGACUCAAAAAUGAUAAACACGUACCAGAGCAAGGAACAAGAGUUCUGCAUGCCCUCGUUGAGCUUGAACUUCUGGUUCGAGUGCCUAUUGUUACAUUAAUAUUCUCAUUCGUGUUUACUAAUUUAUUUUGUAAGACUCUCUUUCUGAUAUAAAUACAUGAAAGGUUACCAAUUUGUAUUACCAUACUUAAUUGUUCUGGUAGCUCUUGGAGUUGGAUACAAACCUUGGUAACAAAAUAUCAUUGAAUUCUUAAAAUACUAGUGCUUGUGGUGCGCCUUACUUGUGUACUUAUACCAAAAUAUAUAUAAUUAAUUAAUUAAUUAAUCUUUUUGUGCUUCACAAUCAGCUAUUAUAUGUAAAAUCGCGUAUAUAUGCGUCUUUCUCAAAAAAAAAAAAACCCCUAAAAAUGUAGGAAAACCAUGGUGAAGAAAAAGAGGGGAUGUAAGUAGUUGUAUUUAAAUAUCAUGGUAGAUAAAAAGAAAAAACUCGAGUAGUUUGAGAACUAAAUUUAGAGGGAAUUUUUUUUUAUAAUAAUAUUAAGUGAUAAUGAAUUGUUUACACCAAAGAAGAGACUCUCUCGCUAUAUAUAUAUAUAUAUAGUAUAGAUAUGGAUAUUGUAGUUACGAUAGUAUUAGCUUAUCUUACGUACCAUUAUGGUCUAUAUUUGACGAAUGAAUUAAACUACCUUUUUUAAUUAAACAUAUAUCUCGAGCACCUUAGACGUGGUAGGAUCUUUGGUCAAAUGAAACAAUUUGAUUCAAGAUGACAUUUGUGUUUGCAUUGGUGAUCAUGUAGGGGCCUGAGGUCUUUGGCCCUCCAUUGGGGAGAUCGAACAAGGCUUUUGACAGUUGAAGGCACAGAAAGAAAAAAAAAAAAAAAGAAGAAGGAAUGGAAGUGGACAAGAAGAUGACAGUUUGAAUGGGGGAAACACUAAAAAAGAUAGCCUAUCAACUCGAUUGGUCUUGGAGUCUAGGAUUCCAGCACUUGGGACAACCCCCAAAAUUAUUCUCCAUUAUAUAAUUCUUUUAGUUGCUUUCUUUGUCCAACAAAAGACAAUUGUGGAAAUUAUUACUCCAUUUUCUUCUGUUUCUUCAGCACUUGCAAUGCAUUGAUUUGAAUCUGCAGCCAUUUUUGGGGGCCAAUUUUUAUUUUUUAAGCAUUAUUCAAUUUCAAUGUUCUUUCGGUGCACUUCAUUUGUGUUCAAUUGCUUCAUUUGAAUAUGCUAAUAAAAUGGUUCAUUUCAUCGUGCCUGCUGGCCACCUGUUGACUUCUCCAAUUAAAGUAUUUCUACUGGAAAAUUAUGUCGUCAAAAGCAUGCAUAUAAUCCUCUUUUAAAACUCGGACUGCUUCCUUAUCAUGUUAAAGUUUUGUUGACUUCAUCCUCUUUCUCCUUGCACGAAUAUAUUUUAGGCUCAGCUGGGGACUAGGUUGUAUCCAUCCAGUCUCUUCUGGUUGGGAGACCACAUGUAUUUCCAAAUCAUCAUUCUUCCCUGCUCGUGGAACAUGAUUCAAAUCACCAUCUUUAGCAGCAAUAACAACUCAUGAUGAACACUUUAUGAUGCUUCUUCUAAAUUCUUAAAGCAUCAUUAUAUCUGUAAACGACUUGUGAUUUCGAAAGUAUAUUCUGAUUCAUGGUGGUGAUUAGAACGGAACCUACUAAACUUUUAAGUAUAAAAAAAAGGAAGAAAGAGAAGGAAGCGUAAUUAUAUCUAAUAUAUAUAUAUAUGUAUACCAUUGCUGUUUCUUGCAUGAUGAAUUUUACUCCUUGUACUAUUGAUAUGGGUGGUGAAAAUUUUACCACUUAUAAAAUUUGCAUAGAAUUCUGAAGGUUGAAAAAGGACAUUGUGGGAGUAAGGAAAAGAGGAUAAGGAUCUAGUACGAGCCACAAUCGGGCCACUAGUACAAAAUUUUGAAAACUACGGUCUGGACUGUACCCCAUGUAACUUAAAACAGAACUGACAUGUACGGGUGAUUAUUAACACUAACUGAAUAUUACAUUUAUGCAAUAGUGUACAAGUUAAUUCACUAUAAGUUAUGGUCGAUUCAACGUGUUACACACUUUUGUAGAAUGGUUGUACUUGUUGCCUUCCCGACAAAGAAGCACCGUGGUGGGAUCGUGAUUUUUCGUAGAAAAAUAUUUUACGUUUAGAUUGUGAUUUUUUGCAGAAAAAUUCUUACAGUUUUCGUGAACGUAUUUUUCAAUUACUUUUUUUUAUUUCACAUGUAUCAAGUCGUUACGGUACAUUUUUCAUGAAAAAAAAAAAACUCCUGAAAAUAGCAUUCCAAGCGGAUCAAUGCAUUUUUCCAAAUAGUUAGUUCUUGAACUAUUUGACUAAUUCACAUUGAGCUCUCUAUCUUAAAAAAAUUGGAUAGAAUGGUCCCCCAAUAAAAAUUUUUGAGCCAAAUUGAUCCCUAUGUGGCGAAGUGUUCAAGAAAUAGUUGCACAAAAGUGGUGAUAAGAUUUGUAUUCUCUUGGUUGCACUGCCGUAUAGGGACCAAUUUGGUCCGAAAAUUUUUAUUGAAGGACCAUUCUGCUUUUGCUAUGACAUGAUGGCUCAAGGAGUGUUUUACACAGAGGCAAUCUGCUUUUUGCUACCAUAUAUAAUUGGUGUGCAUCCAUAAUUCAUUAGAAACAAAAUUUAUGAAAUGCAAACAGGAACGAGGGGACUUUCUUUCUCAUGAGUUCUGAUUAUCACGUACUCCCUUUGGUCUUCAGAAAGAGGAGCAUGCAUGUGCGGCAGGCAAGGUAUGGUGUCGACUUUCUAGUAACCGUGGGCAAUAAUUGCCCUAAGAUCUUCCCCUUUUCAUAGAUCCUGCUGCUCAACAAAAAUGGAGUAAAUGAAGAUUUAAAUAUGUAUAUAUGGUACAAGGAUAUACCCUCUUGGUCACAUUUCUAUUGAUCAUAGCCAAACAACAUCGAACCAUCAAAAGCUAAAAGUCUUUACUCGUCAAAUUUCAGAACAAAUCCUCCACAAAUUAAUGUGCAGUAUAAAGGACUUCUAAUUCUCAAUGUAGUUAUUUGCAAGCCAUCUUGAUUUUAUAUAUAUAUAUAUAUAUAUAUAUUGUAAAUAUUCACAUGUAUAGAUAUCAAUAUAUCAAACUUGUACAAAGGGACCAACUUCUUGAAGUCUACCCUCAACCUAGAUUCUUUUUGGUUGCUUUUUUAUAUACCUUGUUUGUUGUUGAGAUAGUAAUAUAUUCACCUUAUCUGUGAUAGUAUGAAGAAAAAGCAUCUUUAUGCAAGUUAACACAUGUGAACUGAAAAAAGCAUUGAACAAAGUCUCUGAAGAAAGCCCUCUAAAUGUUAGACUACUUCCUGCAAUUUGACAUCUUACUUUUGCCUGGGGAAAAUGUGUAGCUUAGCAGGCAUGUGAAGAUAAAAAAAAAAAAAAAAAAGAAGAAGAAGAAAAAAAAAGAAAGGUUGUUGAUGCCAAUUAACAAGGUAUCAUAGACCACGGGCAGGAACCGUUCCUGGCAGUUAUGUGCAUUUUGCACACGGCGUUGUUAGAACAAAAUUUUGUGGAUCCCACACAUAUUGUUAAAAUCAAGAUACGAGAUGAAAUCUGGACCGUACAAUUUUUUUUUUUAUCAAAUCUUGGCUAUGAACUGUCCAGGGACUGUCCUUUUGAUGAUCAUCCCUGUCCUGUAUCCAGGUGUCAUCAUCUUAACUUCCUGAGAUGGUACCAAUGAAUAGGGACUUUUUCUUGCAUGAUUGAAUCCACUGCGGAGAAAAGAAGAGGUGAUCUGACGGGGAAUAGGGGUGCCACUCUUUGGUCCAAGGGAUGAAGAUUGGGAACAGUAUCAGAUUGUAGACUUUCACUUAAAGUAUUGGUGAAUUAAAAACGUAAUUGUUUUCUUCUUUAGUAAAUAAUAUAUAUAGUACAGAGGAAAGGAAUACUAUAAUAUUAGCAAUGAAAGUCAAAUGAAUUACAUGUAGAAGCGGCCGGUUCAUCAACUUUUAAGCUAAUUCUUUAUCUCCAAAAAUAAAUAUUCAAUUUUCGAUGAAUCAUGCUUCAAAGCAAACAAUCUUGAAGGAGUCAGAGACGGAAACUAAAAAAUACAAUCGUGGAAGCAUGUCAAGUAAUUAAUUAAUUAAUGUUGAGGUGUUGUUCAUGGUUAAUAAUUAAUGAUGAGAAAUUGCCAUUGUUACCAUUAAUUUGACCAUUAUAGCAUGUUAAAUUCAAUUCCUAUGUUUUAGAUUUUUCAUUGUUUAUUAUUUGUUUGGAUAUCAUGUCGUGUUAUUUUUUAAAAAAAUUAUUUAAUUAUAUCAUAAAUAUGCUUUCCAAUUGAAAUGCAUCUUGCUUAAUUAACAGGCGUAUCUUAGAACAAGAGUACAGAGCGCGGGUAAUGCAAAAAAAGUGGUUGCCAAAAAGAAAGCUGAAACGGUAUUCUAACCACGUUUUAUUUAUCUCACAUGCAUUCCGUCAUUAAAACAAAAAAAAUCACAGUAUCACUUCAAACAGUUUUCCAAAUAAUCUUCUAGUCAAACACAUACUAUCCGAUAAAAGUACCAACCUAUGAAAUUCCAAAAUCUUUCUUGUCCUUGUGCCUUGGUUGUCCAUUUUGAUCAGCUCACAUCAUUGUGUGACCACGAUAAAAAAGGUCACCCUAUCAAGUAGCUAGCAGCUAGGCUGGUUUAGCUGUUGUUCAUUGCAGCAAUAUGCCACGACAGGAUCCAAUCUGCUUAAUUAUAUAGUGAAUGUUAAUGACCAUUUUUAUAUCUCAAACACGACUUUUUAGCCAACUAGCCAGCCUUAGAUUGGAAAUUAUAACCUUUUCUUCCGGUCAUGGAACAGCAAACAAAGCACUGAUUCGUGGCUAUGAAUUUUCUUCAGCUUUUGGGGAACGAAACCUUCUAUCUAUCACUCAAUGUUAAUCAAACUUUUCCUUGUCACUUAGUAGGGUUAAUUUUAUUUCGUGUUAAGUAAAAAAAAAAAAAAAAUCAUACCACGAGAUAAUGAGACAAGUGUUGUAAUUAAUAAAUCCAAGAACUAGUAAAAGACAUGAAACAAAAGGUUACAUAGAAAUCUCUAAAGAAACAUGUGCAAUCAAGCUGGUCUAUGUUCCUCAGGUUUCAAACAGAAGAGAAGAACUAGUAGUGCACAUAAUCAUAUGCAUAAAUCUCAAGGAUAUUUUAAAAUGAGAUAGAUCAAAUGUGUUGAUUAUUUACUUUCUUGUUUGAAAUAGAAAUAUGUAUAUCUACAUAUUUUGGGCAAAGAUUAUCCCCCACAAUUUUCUCCUGUAUUAUCUUGAUCUUCACACUAGGUAAAAUGCUUCACCUAAGAAGCAAGAAUGUCCUCAAAGCUAAAAAAGAACAAUUUGUACACUGUAAAAUAUAUACACUUGACUAAUAUGCUCCUUUACCUCUUAUCUUUUUGGAUUUGGUAUAUAUAUAUAUAUAUAUAUAUAUAUAUAUAUAUAUAUAUAUAUAUAUGUGGUGCAAACCUGAUCGAGUGCCACUUGUAAAAACCCUAUUGAAAGAGCAUUAUCAUGAGAGAGGCAAUUUGCUUCUGAAUUGCAACAAUUGUGUUUUUGAACGUUAAAUUGUGGCUAAACUAUCUUAUGGGCAGGCUUACUUUCCAUAUUUGGAUCUUCAAUAUCUACAAAAUUCCCUAUUUGAGCACUUUCAAGUAAUCACGACCAAUCUUCUCAUUUGCAUGCAUCACAUUGUAUGAUUAAAUAAAGCAGAAAAAGGGUCUCUCCUCUUGUGCACCUCAACAUUUGGUAUCUUCAAUUGCACCCGAAUGCACCAAAUUCACUUGCCUCAUAAUUUGAGUUGGGAAUAAAGCCUGUCCAGUUGCUGUUAUUCCACACAGAGAUCAUUAAUAUUAUUAAUAAAAGAAUUUUAUUCUAACUUUGUGGCUUUUAGCUCAUUGCAUAUUGGACCGAGCUAACAAAAAUCAAAUAGCAAAAAACACUAAAAAGAUCUUCUUGGAUUGCCUCUCAAUGAAGAUGUACUACUGGUGUCGCAUAAGUGUACAAAGAGGAAACAUGAGCCCCAUUAGUACUUGUCAUUUAUAUUAUUAUCUUUUGUGCAGUACUAAUGGAUGUUUGAUUUUGCCUUACAUAGCUGCUUUGUAAGCUAUAUGUCGACAUGCACACUAACUAUGUUGUCUGCUUACAAAAAUUAAAGCUAGGGGUGCAAACCACUCAAGCAAAAUCGAGUUACUUUUGAGUUUGCUCGGUCAAUAUUUAAGCUUGAGUUCUAUCAUAUUAAUUGAGCUUGAACUUAAUUAAGACAAAUUAAUCUAUAUAUAUAUAUAUAUAUAUAUGCGAGUUUCAAAAGCAUAUUGAACUUAAUCGAGGUUCAACUAAUACACACACGCUAUGUAUACACCCUAUCUUACCCUAAAGCCAUCAUUUUCUUCAUACCAAACUUAAUUUCCCCAUCUUUGGCUUCCUUCUUCAUUUCUUAUUAAUAACAAUUGGUUUUCUUUCUUUCUUUUUUUCCCUUCUGGUAUGAGAAAUUAUUGAGAAAUAUGAAGGAAGAUGCAAUUUGUUAUUUAUUCUUAUGAAAAAAAUAUACUGUAGAAAAAUGCACUGUAAUGAUUUAAUGUAUAUAAGAUAAAAAGAUGAUUGAAAAAUGUGUUUAUAGAAAACGUAAAAAUUUUUUAUGACAAAGUUGCAAUCCAAACAAUUCCUCAAAAAAAAAAAUUACAAAAAGGAACCGCGCUCUCUAAUUGCAGGAAGAAAAGUUGACUUAAAAGAAAGAAAACUUGAAAGGGGUGUAAGAAACAAGGUUUAUUUGAAAAGGGAUGGGUGGACUUCACUAUGAUGGAUUGUGGGUGGUGAGCCUACGGAUGAGGAUAAAUUUGGUAUAGAAAAUGAUCAAUUGCGAGUUAAAGGCGCUUAAGCCCAUAAUGGUAUUAAAAGUUGGUGACUAUAUCGGUGUCCUGUUCUUUUCUCCCUGCGCAAUGCAAUGCCACAUAUCUCCUUGCCAAUGGUGAAUGCCAAAAUGCAUUACUCCCUCUAUCCCAAAUUGUUUACCGCAUUUCAGAAUUUCAAAUUUUUUUUUAAAAAAAAUAAGGGUUUGACGGUAAUAUUAGUGGAUUUAUUUCCAAAAUUAUCCUUAAAAAUUCAAUUUUCAAAUUUAAAUUUAGUAUGAAAUAUAAAUAAAAGUGAAGAUAAUAUUAGAAAAAUGAUCAAAAGUAACUUUGAUUUUGGUAAGAUGACAGUAUUGUGAGAUAUUCCAAAAUGAAAAGUAUGGUACUUUCAAUGGGACGGAGAGAGUAUCAUCUUCUAUUGAAAUUCAAAUUGCAAGACGCAAAUCCCAUCAUACAUGUAACAAGGGGACAGGCCGAAUACAUUUGAUCAACUUAAUUGAACACUUGUUUUUAUUUCUGACAACACAUAAAUUGCAGACUUUUGUUUGGCCUGCUGGAGGUGAAGAGGCAGUAAAAAGGAGGUGAUGACAGGUAGCUCAAGCCAUUAGUAUUUGUCUGAGGGCAAAAGGAAACAAGAGUACAGGACUGAGUGAGUUAGGUCAAGCAAUUAAACAUCGAUGAAUUAAGUAUCAUUAACAAAUUGAGGGCCACAUUAAUUAUCUGAGUAUCUUUUGUGACAUUCGCAGGUUUAAUGAACUUUGAAUUCCAACCAAUCACGAGGAGAAAUUUAUGCAUAUGGGUCCAAAUUGUCAGGCAAAAAUAGCCACACCAUGACCACACAGCAUUGAUUUUCUUGGGGCUUUUGAACUUUACAUGGAUUAUUUUUUGUUUUCAACCUUGAAGAAUUAAAGCAAUAGAAAGCAAGUAGGGAACAGGCAAAUGAGGCUAAACCAGAAAUUAUAAAAGGUAGGAAUUGAUAUUCUUAUCUUGUUCCCCAACAUACUUACAUUCUACUUCAAUCAUGUCCAUUUUGUCCAUAGCCAAAUACUAGUAUGAGGGACCUCUUUUUGCAUGUACCUAUGAAACUGUGCCCAUGCUGUCAACAUUUUAUGCUGCUACGACCUCCUUGUUUGUCAACGUCGUAUUGGUUAGCUUGCUUACAAUUUGAAACAUAUAUACUAGUAGACAUUGCGACAGAAUUGACAAGUGCCCAGCUCCUAACUAACGCCAGAAAUUGUUAGUUAUAAGGGUAUCACAUUCAUUAAUCUGUCAUGUAAGAUUUCAGUCAUUUGAAGACUAUUAAAAGAGAAUGGUUUCUUUGUCUACUUGAAAGAAGCUUAAAAAUUUUAAUGUCAUAGCAAACUUGCUUAUACUAUUCUCAAAAGUGAUCAAUUUUACUCUAAGAUGAUGAAGGUUGACUGAAGGGUAUUUGUCACAGUUAAUACUAGAAUUGCUGUGGCAUUAAAAUUUUUCAAGUGUGGUAAUACCAUUUGCCUUAUUGGGUGCAUUAGUGAAGAAUCAUAUUGCUGAUCAAUGAAUGAAUAAGGUAUAUUAGUUAUUUUGAUUAUAGGGUCGAGUUGAAUGUUAGAUUAAAGUAAACAUUAGGGCCCAAGUGACAUUAGCUUUAAAGAAAAAUUAACUGGUUAAUUAUCAAAAUAAGAUUACCAUAUAUGUACCCUCUGAAAUUAUUGUUUGGCGCCUUGUGUUCUCAUCUGCUUUAACUUUCUUUAACAUUCAUGAAGGAAAUUAUGUGUCUUUUUGAAAACUUUGAAAAGUAAACAAAUUGUUGAACGUGUCCAUAAUCUUGUCCAUAAUCUUUCCUUCUUGUUAAAUUGAAUACAUAAAAGCAAAAGGUAAAAGCAGCCAGGACCACAUUAAAACAACGCCUUUUAGACAGUCUGGAUAAAUCUUAAGCUAAUGGAAUGCAACGCCUUCUUCUGCAUACCAAAUGUAAUUCCACUUUUGGGACAGAAUACUAUACAAGAAUAACAGUAGCUCAAAUUGCAGAUCAAUUUCCUGCAUGGAAUAAUGGAUGCAACAAGCUAGCACGUUUACUGCGAUUCACUAAUGAGGUUCAGGACUUUGGACGCAACUAGUGUUGGCUGCGUCAUUUGGCAGAAACAAAGUCUAUCCCAGACAUUAUAUAUAGCAGAAAAUUACAUGUUUGCUAACGUAAUGGUUGCCUAGUGGGGCGUGGAAUGGUAUUAUAGUGAGGGAUGAAAUCACAAAGAAUCCCAAAUCCUAUUGUCUACAAAUUAUACAUAUCAGCUGUAGUUAAGUGUUUGUUGCAAACGCUAUUUGGAGGCAAAAAUGGCUGAUUUUGGACAUUAUUAGUUCGACAUGGCUGCAAUAGGCCAAAAUUUGUGAUAAACCAAUGCAGAGAUCAAUGAGUGGAUGCAUGCAUGUAAUUUGCAUUAGCGAAUUCAUGUUGCAAGCAUUAUAGAUAAACUCCAGCAAAACUGGGGCUGGUGCAAGCUACUGAUCACUACAUGCAUGUAAUUAGAAUACAUUAUGAUGGGAUUAGAUGCAAAUGAGGGAUAACCCAUGGUGCAAAAUGCACGUAUAAGGUAUAAUUUUUAGUCUGACGGUGACUACUAAUAUGCAAAAUGCAGAAAGCAGCAGAUCAGCAUGACAAAAAAAGAUAGAUAUUAACUGAAUUGGGAUAAAAUACUUAGAUUUUUUUUCCUUACAAUGUUAGGUAACGCGUUAUUUUAAUGUAAUGUUGUCGAGGUAUCAAAAUUGAAUUGCAGAAAAUUAGCUUUCCUUUAAAAAAAAAAAAAAAAAAGAAAAUGUACAGUUGGUAAUAUACAUAACAGACUUGAAUUAUGGAUAAAAAAUUCGGUCAAGUCCACAUGCUAAGUUCAUCAAUAAUCUCCUUUCUUCGUGUUACCUUUUUGGUUUUGGAGUCAAAUCAACAAGGUUAGUGGUACUGCGGAGCUGAUAAAGAGUCCAUAUCAAAAGAGGGCCAAAACCAUUUUUGGAGCUAGGUAGAAACACAAACUUGUUUUCAAUUAUGCUACCCAAUUUAGGUAUAUAUGCACAUAGUCUAAAUCCUUCUCACAGAUGGCUCACUUGAACAGCCACCAAUGAAUGAUCAGCAAAUUGAUCAAGAAAGGAAAGACAGAGAUUUGAACAAAUGAUCAUUAAGCCCUAGAAAAAGUGUGUUAACUUGAAAAGGGAACUAUGCAUUUUGGGAGUGUAAGUGAGUUUCGUUUUCAUAGGCUCAUAGCCCAUGUGCUAGUUGCUGGCUUUUUUGUUGCAAGAAUUUGGUUUUAAAGUCAAGAGAAACGAUAAGUACUCUACACCAGGCUAGAUAGGCAGAUCGUUCCUCAUCCACUUAGUGAUUUUAGGGCAUGAUUGAGGUUCCAUUUUUUCUGCUCAAAUGUGCAAAGUUUGGUGGUGACUUUUGCACACAAUCCUUUCAGUUCUCAUCUCAAAGGAUUGGUGAAUUUUCCAAAAAAAAAAAAAAAAAAUCCAAAGGGCUUGUGAAUUAACAUUUUUUUUCUUUUUUUUUUGGGGUGGGGCGGGGGAAAGGGGGAGGAAAAAAUGGUUGGAUGGUAUCGGGAAAGAAGAGGAAGGAGCGUAAGUAAAAGGGUCAAGUUCGAGUCCUUAUUUCACUACUAAAAAAGAAAUCUUGUCAAUCACCCAUGCAUGGUUGUCAAAAUAUUUCAAAACUUGGUUUUGUGCACUGAAAUUAUCUUUUAUUGUAAUAAUUCACAGAUUUAACUUCUAAAUAUAUAUCGUUUUUACAUUUUUCUUUAUUUUACCUUCUUUAUCUCUUGCGGAGGUUGUUGCGCUUGAGAUACACAAUUACGCUCACCUUUGAAGUAUUUUUGGUAUUUCUCAGAAAUCUUGCUCACAUGCUAUCUAAAGUUUCAUUUUACCAACUGCACUUCUUUUAUUUUGUCAUUUCAAAUUUGCAUCAGAGAGUUUCUGAGAAAUGACAGAAGUUCCCCUAGAUAAAUUAUUGGUGCCAUUGAUGCACUUUACCCUUCUUUGAUUUUACGUUUUCCCUUUCCAAAUCGUUGUUUUUGUGCAAACAAUUGGAGAAGGCAUCAAGAUAGUGAAAGAGAAUAUCAUAAGCGCUAUAUUUUUUCAAGUAAAAACUGCAAUCAUUUCAUUGAAGGAUGACGAGAAGUUCUUCCACAUAUCCUUCUACAAGCUGAAACUAGCAAGUUUGCACUGCACAUUUAAAAUCAUUUUGCAGUCAGUGAUUUUUAAGCACGCAAUUAUAUUGUAGCAAUAACACAAAAUGCAAACUCUAAUCGCUCCCAAUUUGAGCAUCCUAUUAUCAAUUCUUACACUUCUUGAAAAUUACAUUAUAUCUAUGGUUUCUAGUUGAAGUUCGUUAGUUGCAUUUAAAAAGUUAUAUAUAGCUGUAUCACUAUUCUCAAUCCAAGUGAUAUUCAUGUAUAUAUGUUUUGAGAUGGGCAUCAAAUGAAUGCCUUAAGGGUUGGCUAAGUGCAAUAAUUUUAUGUGAUUUUGUGACUUUGCAUCAAUAUUGAGAACAUUACGAACUUGACAUUUUCUUUCAGCAUUUUCACUAGAACAGUAUCUGAUUAACAUGCCUAAGUAGCUAGUACUAAAACUUGCAUUUUUUUUUUUUAAGAACUAAAACUUGCAUUUUACAGUCAGGAAGUGGAUUGAAUGUUUCAGAAGGGAAAGCAAGGAAGUGUUAGAUGAUGGGCUAUCAAAAUUUGUCAAAACUUCUGCAAACCUAUUUGGACUAGUCUAUUCCCUGUGAGGACAUGACUUGUCAUGACAUAGGACAUCAUGUGUCUUGACCACUGCACCAACCUUAAAAGCAUGCAGGCUUUGUAUUCUGUCAUUUGAGAAAAAAAGAUUUGGACACAGAACUUGAAUGAAUGAGGUAAUAACACAAGUUCCACAGCAUGAGUCAUGCUGAAAAAUGUGUAUUGUAGAACUUUUUUUUUUUUUUUUAAUAAAAAAGAGCUCUGAUGACAUCCUAAAUUUACUUGUGAAUUCCUCAGGAUAUUAUAUAUGCUCAAAAAGAAAAUAAUGUACAUAUGAACAAUAUAUAAAUGGGUUGAUUUCUUUUCUUUUUCUUUUUUCUACAUGCUUACAUAUAGUCUUGAAGAGUCUAAGAAUAGGAGAUGUCUUUGGACAUAAAAGCGAAACUCAACAUUUACUUAUAUGUGAUGGUUUUGAUUAAUUACCCAGAGAAAUAUUUCUCAGAUGACUAGUUUCUCCAUAGGCAUGUUUCUGUAUUCCAUUUUCGAAGAUACAUUUAUCAAAGUAAAGAUAACCAGAUCAGAAAGUAAGUUCCUGCAUGAGAAUGAGAUGAUGUUAAUUGCUUUUUUUGGCUUUGGAAAAUCACGAGGGCUCGAAACCAUACGAUCAAGACGGCUAAUGUGUAUAUAUUGUUAAGUAAUAGUACUUUUAUGAAAUAGAACUUUCGUGGAGUCAAUUUAAAACCCAAAUUAAAAACACAAACUUGUGUAGAUGCAGAAAACUCUUUUUUUGUUACGUAGAUAUCAUGCAAGUUCUUUAGUGUCUACAUCCAACUCUUCAGUCUAAUUUAUCCACCUUUGGUAGAGAACAUGAGAAUGGCUCUACCAAGCACAAAACUUUUUGUUUUUUCAAGACUUUUGGUUUUAGUGAAGAUGGAGAAAAUCUGGAAUGAGUAAAAACAAGCCUUUUUAGAAACCGGCCCCAUACGAGGGUUCAACAUCACUGUACCUAAGUGGUUAGGAUUUAGUUGUUUAUAUAUGAUGAAGCAUUAUGUCUUAUAUUAAUUACCAUUUUAGAGAAGAAAAAUAACUAGAAAUAUCAAUGAUGAGUAAAAGUAAGGGGGUUUUGAAUAUUUGAGUUAUAAACUAUCAUUUUUAUUUUCUAACAAUCAGAAGCAAAUUAUAUUUGUGGAUUGUUUUGGGGGUGGAGCAAAUUAAAAGUAACAUUGUGGUAAUCAAUUAUCUUAUACUAGCAAAUUUUUUUUUUCUUCAUUUGUUUGUCAGUUAUAGCAAUAAUAGAAUGAGGAAAAAAGUUUUAUGCUAGCAUUACUUAAAUGGAACUAAUGAGGAAUAAUUGAUGCAGCCAGAAAUGAGAGUUAUACCAAAUACAAUGUAGUCAAAAGUUAAUUGCCAAAUUGGGGUUACUUUCUGCCAAACAAUCUUUCACUAAAUUGGUCCUCCAAAAAGAAUAGCUAAUUUGGCAAUUUGAGUGUGACCCUUAGAAUAUGAAUCAGGAACAUAAUAUUCAACACCAUUUCCAAUUGAUUUUUGAUGCAGUUGAUGUUGCUUCAUGAAUUACAGUUCUAAUGAAGGAGUCAAUUUUUACUUCGAUACAAUUAAGGGUUUGUUUGAUAACAUUAAAAAGUGCUGAAACUAAAUUUUUUCAGACAUUCAAAUGUUUUGAGUGUUUGAUAAAUGAAAAUCCAUCUGUUGAACUUGUUAAGCAGUGCUGAAAUUGUGUGUAUUUUUUUCAGCACAAGAAUCCUAACUGAAUGCUUAAUUCUGAUAAGAAUUAAUAGAAUUACUUCAACUACCUUAUCUUAUCUAUCAAAUCUACCCUUGUUUGUUAAUUAUGUUCAAAAUUCUUAUCUAAUUAAACAACCUGAUAUUCUCUAUCUAAGGGUUUUCUAUUUCUCUUUUCUCCUUUGUUUAAUGACUUUCACAUCUUCGCCAUACUCCUUAUAUAAUAUAUUUCAUCUUUUAUAUUAAUUUGAUUUAAAAAUAAAUAUUGUGGUUUACAUACCUAACAAUAAUUUUAAAAUAAUUAAUUUAUAGGUUCUAUUUCUUUUUUGGAUGAAAACAUAUAAGGGCAAAAUUGUCAAAUUUAACUUAUUAAGCAUUCAGUUAUAAAUGUUUAUCAAACAGUAUAAAUAGGUUUAAUAUUAAAAUUCAGACAUUUAUAUAUUUCAUUUCAGUGCUUAAAAUUCAGCAAAUUAAUUGUUUUAGUAUUCAGAUUUCAGAAUUCAGACUUCAGAAUUCAGAUUCAGUUUUAUCAAACGGAACAUAAGUAUGCAUUUCUUGUGCAUGUAUUAAUCAGUCUCGUAUCAAACCAGUUGAAAUGUCCCAUGCUUAUCUUAUUUUCAUGUUUUCAGUCUGUUUUUCUUGCAAUGAAAGAUUGAAAAUCAUUAUGUGAUCUAUAUUAUUCGUUUUUAGAAUUAAUAAACAAUCCGGAACAUACACAAUAAUGAAUUCCAGAGUUUUCGUGAAAGUUAUAAACAAACACCAAACUUUCUUAUUUACUACAAAAAUUACAUAAAUAUAUUGAUUCCAAGCUUUAAUUCUUGCAGGGUUGCACCGCACUUGCGUUAUAUAUAUCUAGCAUCAGAUUUCAUAUUUUAUUUCCGCUUUAACUAUUGUAAUUUCUAAAAGCAACAAGAAUACAACCAACAGCACCAAACAUAGAAUAAUUGAACCGCCUGAUCUGACUAUACAAAGAUAGUAGUCAAUAUGUACCUAACAAACCAACUUUCUUGCAGCAAUGUUCUUCAGUCAUUUUGAAACAUGUGAAUUUCAUGGAUCAGAUCAAAUAAUAAAAAAUAUAAUAAUAAUAAUAGAUGAAUAAAUACAUUUAAGCAAUCAAGCAUCAAAUGUCUCAUCUCCAGCUAGCUAAGGUACACUAAUGCCUAAACUACACAAAUUCUCCAAAAAGCAAAAAGACUCAUGUUCGGUAUCUUUUUUAUCUAUCAAUCGUGAAGUUAAUAUCUUAAGACACGCACAAGAUGAAAUAUCCCGGAUCGAAUGUUCUAGGGUUUUAUUUACCAUACCUCAAGCUCAUGUCAAGUAAUUCAGCCUCUUGUCCAAUAUCAAGUCCCGUGUAAGAGGAGGUGUUAAAAGUCGACAAAAUACCCCAUAUCAAUUUGUCAAAGAAUUAUAGCUAGGCAUCAUAUCAAUAAGAUUUUGAACCACUCAACUCAUUAUAAGUUCGUUAACAGAUGAACGCAGUCAAGCUAUUUAUCAAACCCUUUUUAAUGUGUCAAUCAUGUGUGUGUAUAUAUAUAUAUAUAUACAUACACGCACACACAGAGAGAGAUCAUGAAGUUAGUAUCUAAAGGUAUGAACAAGAUAAGCCUAUGCUGAUUCAUAGUUCAGGAAAAGGUGUCCUCAGAAAAUGGCUUUUUCAAGGGCACGCUUGAAAGAACCCUUGCCUCAACAAGUCGUUGUUUCAGGACUUUCGGUGGCCAAUCUCCCAUAAACGCACACACGCACACGCAUAGAUGUGUAGAUCUGCUGAUGAGUAGUCGUUGUCUUUCCACAUCAAUAUCUGAAGAAAUGCAAAGACGACCAUGUGCUUCACUUCAUAUAAUAUUAGCAAUCCUUUUCCUUAGCCUAGAUACCUUAGAUAGGUUUAGGUUCAAUGAUUCUUGUCGGAACAGUUCUUGAGACUUGAAUGAUAUGUAUGCAAACUAAAAGCUGUAAUCAGUUUUGAUGCUUCAAUAUUGCAAAAUCAUGCUACUCCUGCUAAAGGAAUUUAGAGGACUUUUUACAUGCAAGUGGGGGAACCCAAAUGUGAAGCUCUGCAUGCAGAAGAAGACAUUCUGCAUUGUGCUUAAUAAUUGAGAACAAAAGAUUUCUUUUUUGGUUUUUUAAUGGUUUUAUCAUUUUAAGUAGUUCAAUAUUAAUUUCUAUUCUCUUCUAUUUCCUGCAGGUAGCCUAAUGUCGAUGCAUGGAGCAAUCACUCAAAAUGCCAAAUUAGCUAUUCAUUGUGGAGGAUCCAUCUAAUGAAAAUUCUUUGGCUAAAUACAAUCCCCCAAAUUGGCAAGUAGCUUCAAAGUACAUUGUCAGUGAUCUAAAAUAAUUUUCUCAUUCAAUUAUUGUUGCUCUAACUGGCAAAUAAUGAAUGAAAAACAAUGGACUUUGCUAGUAUAAUACAAUUGAUUACCUCAAUGUCACUUCUUUCAAUUUGCUUGCUUCUUUUUGGAAGAGAACAAAAUUGCUAUAUAGUUUACACUUGAAAUGCUCAAAAUCCCUUACUUUUUACUCAUCGUUGGAUACUUUCCAAUUAUCUUUAAUUCCUCAACAGUAAUAUAAGACAGAAUACUGCUUCAUCAUCUACAAACAUCAAAGUUCUAACCACUUAGGCAAAGUGGUAUUGAACCCUUGUCUAGUACUGGUUCUGAACGGUUCAAUUACAAAAAGCGAUUAAGAAAGUAUUAUGAGAUGAUUAUGGGAUAAAUACAAAUAUAGGAAUAUUUAAAAAAGGCAGGAGAUGGUCAUAUACCUUACGUGUAGAAUGUCAUAUUCUGGUUCUUAAAAACAUUUUUUUUUGGGUUGUUAAAAACAUAUGUUUUUACUCAUUCCAGAUUUUCUCAAUCAUGACUAAAAACAAAAAGUCUUGAAAUACUAACAAAAAUUUUGGUGCCUGCAGGUAGAGCCAUUCUCAUGUGCUCUACCAAAGGUGCAUAGAAUAGACUGAAAAGUUGGAGGUGCAUUAUUAAAGAAGUUGCAUGAUGUAUACGUAAGUUUCUGUUUUAUUGUGUGUUUUAUAAAUAUAUUUGAGUUGUUUGUAUUUUGUUCAUUCGAUCAAUUUGCUAAAUUUUAUGGGCUCUUUGAAUAUCAGAUGGAUAAAGCAUCGCCAUAUGCUUCUUUCUACAUGGAAGUUUAUAUUUUUGAGUGAUUUCUAUGAACUGUAUUUUCUCUUCUUGAUACUGAUAGGCUGAAAAUCUGAAAUAUAUAAGAACCAUUGACCAAUAUUUACGUAUGCAAUGACAAUGCAUAUGAUUCACGUUAUGUCAAAAAAGUUGCACACCUAAUUUGCAAGUACAUUUUUUUUCCAUCUUUUCAAUGGACACAUUUCACUUGGUACUCGAAGUUGAUCUCAUGUGGUUUUUGCUGCCUUUAUGCAUCCAGAAGCAAAUUUGAAGGGGCUAUUCUUGGUGCAUUUGACGCUUGAUGCACCUUUAAUACACUCAACAAGAAGUCACUAAAUCUUGCCCAGUGCAUUGAAUCAAGACCACUGUUAUCAGUUGUCUGCAAAAAGAUUUUUUGUUCAUUUUUCCUUCAACCAAGAUAAUAUCGUGUCUACAAAGAAGGAAUGGAGAAGGGGAAUUCUUUCUAAUGGCAAACACGAGUAGACACCUUGAAAGUUGAGGAGAGAACCAAUCUUGGGGUUCAAUCAAACAGCACCACCACUGGCCUUCUUGUAGCUGUGUAACUAACAAAAACUGUAUAAUUAGUAUGGUAGUUUGUGAAGUUUGAAACGUGAAAGGAAAUCCCAAAAGGUCUGAGAGGACUGGAAUUUGGUUGAAGUUAGUUGGUGGAGAACAUGUUAUGGGCCAUGCAAUUGAGUCAGGUCUGACAGCAAAUUGGAGGCAAACAUCUGACAAGAUGAGCUUUGGAGGGGGGGCUUCAAGCUGUGCUCGGAAUUUUGCCACUUGGAAGCAUAAUAUUGGGAUUCUUGGUUUAUACUUGACACCCUCUGUUUUUGUUUUGUCAGAAGAGUAAUGAAGACUAGAGAGCAAAAGGAAUUGGAAGCUUAUGUAGCACUUGACUUUCCCCAUCAAGAAAGUAGGUAGCUGUCUUCAAAGAUGCCGAGGAGGGGUAACAAGGACUGCGGGUGGAACCAUUCCAAACAAUUGAGGGUAAAAUUUCGUGUUUGGAUUGCUAUUUUUUAGAAUUUUUAUAAAAAAAAUAUAUACUAUAAUAAUUUGAUACACGUGAAAUAAAAAGGUGAUUAAAAAAUAUAUUUUCGAAAAACAUAAAAAAUCGUUUAGUAGAAAACUCCAAUCCAAAGCACCACCUAAAUUUUGAACUAAAAUUUACCCUUAAUUAAUUCUGAUAAUAGAUGCACAUCGUUUUGACACACUUAUCAGAUUUAAGUGAUAGGGUUACAAAAGUUACUUAUUGUACAAGUGGUUUAUGUUAUAAUGGUAAAUGUACAGUUUAUAAUUUGUUAGACACGGUAUAAUUCAGGAGAGUUUGCAGCCCCUUGUUUCUUGAGGAUAUUUGAGGAAGUAUAGGCUGGGGUGUUGGUGGAGAUUUGGAUUUCUUAAAAUAGUUUCACUUUUGACCCUAUGUUUAGCUUUACACAUUUUUAGUCAUUAACCUUGUGUGCAUGUUCUACUUUAGCCCCUCAUUUUUUACUUUGGCACAUUUUGGCCCCCUACGGUUCAAUAAUUUGCAAUUUAAGUAUGCUGUUAGUUGUCCCAAAAUAACAAUUUUAUAGAUCAAAAAGUGAUUAAAAUUAGUGAUACGUAAACACAAGAGACAAAACAGGAUAAACGGAAACUGCAGGGACCUGAAAUUUUUAUGAGACAUAUGAGAUUAAGAUCCUGUUUGAUAACCCAAUUCAGCACUUAAAUUUAAUAGAUUUAGAUCUUAAUAUAUUCAGACCGUUUGAUAACCAAAAAUUAAACAUAUGAAUUAAUUAAGUGACAUUAAAUUUUCUAGACAAAACUUGCUCCCAAGAUUAAGUGAUAAGCUAUUCACUUAUUACUGAAUGUGACGUGCAUUCAAAUGUAUUAAAUUUAAUACUUAACAAUUCAAAAAUUUAAUGAAUUCAAAUUUCAGAUUUCAGAUUUUAGAUUUCAAUUUUCAAACUAUUGUUUUAUCAAAUGCAGCCUAAAUUGAGGAUGCUAGUACCAAACAUGUAAGGCGGUUCACGAAUUAGCACCAAAUUUUUCUUCAUUUUUCCCAGCUUAAGGACUAACUAAGACACGUAAACGCGAGAGCGACCCAAGGACGAACUAGCUCAAUCAAACAUGAACAAUCUCGGCCCAACUAAGACGGUCCCCUUGGGCUGCUUUGCUGCAAAUUUUUCUAGGUUUUCUAGCAUUAGAAUAAAUAAAAUAAUUGUUGAAUAAAUCUAAUUAUUAGAAAAUUUGUUAGAAUUUUCAAAACUUUGUUGAGAUUGUUUAGGAGAUUUGUUAACAAGUAUUUUUCAGUUAAAUUUUGGCAAGAGAUAUUUGUGAUUAAUUUGUAUCCUACCUCUCUGUGAAAGGAAAAAAUUGACGAAUGAAAAGUAAGUUCAUUUUUUAUUUUAAUAACAUUGCCUAAGACGUUGUUUCUUAGUUUAUACCUUAAAAACCAACCCGUUCGCUCAUCUAUGUUGACAUUUUUGCUCAAAAACACAAGUUCACACAACCACGAUCCCCCCAAACGCCCCCCCCCCCUCUCUUCCUUCUCAAAAACCAAAAAACCAACCAAACCAUAAAUAAAUAAAUAAACACUGAUUUGAAUUUCAUUCUUGAGCCCAAAAGCUGGUAGAAACAAUACUUGUUUUGAGCAAGAAGUUCCCAAAAUCACAAGCACAUACCUAGAUAAUGUGAAGAUGAUAUUAUAAUGAGAUAGCACAAAAAAAAACAUAGCAAGUAAACUGUUUAUUUUACUUUAACUUACACUAUCACACAUUCACAAAGCCAACAGCAAUUCUACAAGUAAUCCAAUCUAUCCAAUUAUUUAGUUGGUUGUAUUGCUAUAUAUAAAGCCUAGCCUUCGCUUAUAAAUCCAACCUCACAUACGAAGCACUAGACAAAAAAUGUUCAAAACGAAAUUAAGAAUCAAUUUGACCUUCUGGGAAUCUUCUUAUCAUGACCGGACAGCAGCAGACAACUUCUUCUUUGGUGGUGGGUUACCGCCAGAAAUCAUCACAUAGGCGUAGAAGCACAGCAUUGCAGCACUGUAGCAAAUGAAGAGCAAAAUAACCACCAUCACCAGAAGUAGCAGAGUUGAUGCAGCAGCACCAUUGAUUAAUAAAAAGGCCGUUCAAAGAAUAGCUAACAUUUGGAAGAAAGGGGAUUCAUCGUCGUACCUAAUUGCAGCAUAAAAGCCGGAGGGAAAUAGCUUUUGUGUCUGUAUCAAACAGCAGCAGCAUUUUACGUUGAAGUCCAAAUUAACGAAUGCAACAAAUGAAUAACAAACUAGAAAGUUUUUAUAAUACCAAUGAGUAUGUCUGAGUGUUCUUCCGUAUGAGGACUGCAGCAAGCACUGCGAUGCAUAAACCAAUGAAAGAAUUAAAGUAUAGAUAAAGCAAUUUCAAACUAGACAAGAAAAAAAAAAUGCUUCACAUCCUCCAAACACAGUAUCAACAGCGCGCGCGUGCACGUUGGGGCCAGGGGGACUAGCAUCUUUUGGGUUGUGCGCAAGUUAAGCAAACUGCUUCUUCUAAAAAUAGGAAAAAAUCAACUUUUCGGCUUGAAUUUUGACAAGCAGCUGUUAACACUUGACUGUUAUCAGCCAUUCUAAAAUACAUCGUGGCUCAGAGGUAAUGACCAGACAUCAAGUAGCCUCAUAUGAAUGCAUGCACAUAAAGGAGGUAGCUUUAGAAUUCCACAACUGUUACAAGGUAUCUCUUUUUAAAAGUCAGCCACUGCAAAAUAAUGUUCAGAAUUCUAAUGCACAAGGCAAACUUUGAGAAAAAGACACUCUGUCAGGGAUAGAAAGUAAGAAACUUUAUGACCAAGGAUAAAAAAUUCAUGCCAGAAAUAAGCUGAUGCAAGCUUCACUAUGCCGUAUGAAGUCAGAAAUGGGAGGCAAAUAUUGAAGAAACCUUGAUAAUGAAGAUCAAAGCACAGAUCAGUGUUGCCAAAUAAGAAUAAUUGUAUUACUGUCCACAAGUCCUGUGAAAGACUGAAAAGGAGGAAGUAUUCAAUGCCAGCCUAAUUGCCAUAAAACUAUCUACAAUUUGUGUUCUAUUACAAACUAAAUAUUUUGCUAAAAUGAUGCAUUUGUUCAUGAUAGAGUAACUGUAAACAGUCCGGUUAUAUGAUAUAUCAUCUACAAGAUAAGACCAUCAACAGCAUUAGCACCGCAAAUACAAAGAUCUGUCUGGCUUUCCCUUUUCUCGGCUGUGGCAUUAAGUUCCCUAACAACCAAAAAGCAUGUCUUUCAUUUUACUACACAAGUAGCACAAGAAACAACCUGUAGAGCUCACAUUAUUCCAUCAAUAACUUACAAAAACCUAUUAAGGAAAUGCUGGGUUUCAUAACAUCCGACAAGCUGACCAAACAUAAAAUCUAUGCAGGAUCUUAUGCCCAUUGCCAGCUUUUUAACAUUUUUGACUGAAAAGAUUGUAUGGUUCCCAAAUAUACUCUAUUUUUAUUUUUAGAAGGGCAAAAUGCCCAAGAACCCUUCUUUCCCACUUACAAUAAAUUUUUCAACUCAUUCUUACUAACUGCAAAUCCUCUAGGCAUACCCAAAAUAAAAAAUUUCAUUCAUGAUAAGGAACUAAACAUCAUUUUUUUGUAUUCAACUUGACUAUAGUAGAUAGACAUGAUUCUGAACUCUUCACUAUGGCAGACUAUGCUUUUGUCAAAUUUGCACGAUAAUUGUACAUUAUUUUAGAAUCUAAAUAAAAUAAAUUUAUUCUCAAAAUUUGUUAUACCAAUUCUAUACUGAUAGAGACUUAAAAUAACAAAUUGCAACAAAAGUUCAGCGCAUCUUAGUUUGUUGAAGUAAUAAAUAAGUUACAUUUGAAUAAAUUUACAUGCCACUGUAAAAUCAUUUUUGAAUUGACACUAAUAAUUAAUAAACCGAUUAAAGAUUAAAAGGCCAGUACUUUGAAUCAAAUUUGUAUUGACACUAAUAAAUCAAUUCAAGAUUAAAAGGCCAGUACUUUGCUUUUAAAUGCCCAAGCUUGAGAAGAAAAGAAUAAACUAACCAUUCAAACUUAAAAUUCAUUAAAUCCCAUUUCAGAAGAAUAAGUACAAUAAUUGAUCGUUAGAAAAUUUAGAGAUUUGCAUGGAAAAGAAAAAUAAUUGAUUUAAUAUAGUCAUGCGGUCACGGUGAAAAGAUUUGAGAAUACGCCAUACAUAUAACUAAGAAUUUUCUUGAUGAAAAAUAAAAUUUAAAACAUAAGCAACUAGUCCACGCAGAAAAGAAGCAGGAGUUUUUACGAAAAAAAUGAUUUAUGCCCAAAAACUACUAGAAGUCUAGGAUUUUACUAGAAUAUAGGAACAUGAGCUAUUCAGAAAUUCUGUAUAAAUUCAUAAAUCAGCUCUCAACAAAUAAACAUAUUGCAAGCAUAAGGAAGCUGUUAAUACACCUUGAUUCAAAGAGGAACUACUUAAUUUAACUCAGAUCAGGAUUCUUUGAUUACAUGGAUAUUUUAGUCUAUUACCUUCAGUUAACUGUUAGAGAUUCCUACCCCAAUUUCUUCCUAUAAGCUAGAUUUAGACAGUAGAACCAAAUAUAACCAUAACCGUGUACCAAGGUUCUUAAGAAUUAACAUGUCCAGCUACUGCCAAUGGCCAACAUACCUUUCAUUUUGAAAUGGAAUAAACAAAAACAUACCCAAAAAAAUGAAAAAUAAGGAAUUAAAAAAAAAAAAAAAAAGGCCAGCACAACAUUGGCAGAUUUCAAGAGUCAAAAAUUGAACUAAAUGAAUCAUAAUAGAGAGCCCAAAAUUGCCAACAACAAGUUCCAGCAGAUCAAAAUAGUUUCUUUCAUUAUAGGCACGCUUCACACUUCAGAAAAAUCUAAUUAUUGUCCAACUCGUUGUAAGCACUUAAUUUAGUACAUUACACAACGAUAUUGUGGUAAGAGUCAACUUUCCAAAAAAUCACGAAAAAAUGGCAAGCUCCAGAGAAAUCAAUAAGCCAACAGCUUCCUAUCAACAACAUGAGUGGCAAUUUAAACAGUUGAACUGCUAAAGCACCAGCUGGGAAGAAUGGGGGGUUUUAGUUUUUCAUAAUAUGGACACUACAUAAUGUAAAAUGAAACAUCCAACAACAGAGAAAUCAACAAAGGCAGAUAGCCUUUUACCACAAAAACAGUUUAGAACACAAAGGACAGUAAACAUUUCUAAAAGUUAAGUCAAAAGUAGAAGAAAGUUGCAAUAUUUUCUCAAGAGAAAAAGCAAACUACAAAUAGAAAGAUGAGCUAACCAUUUUAUAUCAACAAUGCUAACAUUUUAUAUCAACAACGCUAACAUUCUAAAGACAUUAAUAGGCAAAAAGCAAUACCUGCUUGACCUAGCAUGAAGGGCAGGCUAGAUUUCCCUUUUCUCCAGACUGUUAAACUAAGAGUGCUCAAGGCCAGCAGAGGACCUCCAAAGAACACCCCAGUUAUAAACGUUGCAGGGUUUCUGGAGAAAAUGAAGCCAACAAGGCCCCCACAUAAAACAAGUCCACCUGAUCAAAGAAACUAUCAAUAAGCGUCAUCUCCUAAAUGAUUUAAGCAUUUCACACCUCCAGUUCAUAAUUAAACAAGUACAAAGAACCUACACAACCUUCUUUUACAAAGAAUCAUUAACAGGAUUUAACCAAGGUCAAUAUGUUAGUUAAAACAGUCUGUUAUAUUUAAAACAGCAGUUCGGAACACUAGCAGUAGAAACUAUGAAACUUACCGCACCAAGAUAAGGAACAAAUCUACCCUUCAAAUUCAUUUGCAGAAGCAGAUAAGCUUAUGAACCACACAAAGAGCACUUGACAUUGUAAUUGAGACCAAAUUUUCAGCUUAUGAUACCUAAAAAUGUGCUCAUUGAAACUAUUCUCUUGCCUAAUACAAAUUUGAACAUCACAUGUAUCGACAAAACAAAUCAGAACAGGUGGAGUUCACCAUUGAAAAGAUAAGACAAAUACUGCAUCAAUCUGUGGCAAAAUGUGGUUGACACCAACACUCAACAAUUUAAAGUUGAGAAAAAUCCUAGCUAUCCACAUGGAAAGACCUAGUUUUUUCCAUUAAAUUCUUUCUUUUACAUUCUCCAGUUUUAUAUACUCUUGUUUAAUCCACUAACUGCUUUCUCUCUCAAACAUGGCAAUACAUCCCCCUUGUUAGUGAAUGAGAUGUGCACAUUUCUAGUAGACAUCAUUCUAUGAGAACCAAGCAUGCGGAAUUUUAUUAUUUAUACUUGACAUGAUUGAGAGAAAAAGCAACCCUUAGUACUUACAAUUUGUGGUGAAUUAAGAGAUAUAUUUGCUAAAGCUUCAAUCUGUGCAACAAGCUGAAGCUGCGCCAUGACCAAUUGACAUGCUUUAACUUAGUUACAGCUCAAAAAAGUACUUGCACUUUGUCAUGACAUUCUUUCAAUUUUUACACACACUGAUUAAAAUAAGACACUUUACCAUGAAUAAAAACUUACCAAAAGGAAUUCCUAGACAAAAAUCAUGAAUCUUGGCUGCCCUUAUUUGUUGGGUUGCAAUAGGUUCUUCUACAGGUUCGCUCUCCCCUUUAAUAGCUACAGGUUCUUCAGCAGUAGAAUCUACUAUCAAUGACCUUCCAUUAUGAGAUUUUGGUGCACCGUCUGUGUAAC
Molecule: long non-coding RNA, 55154 nt
Filed under: Coffea arabica (coffee)
Lineage: Eukaryota; Viridiplantae; Streptophyta; Magnoliopsida; Gentianales; Rubiaceae
Description: long non-coding RNA (CARA_LNC004577)
Source: RNAcentral